UUCCCUCAUCCUUAUUCACUUUUAAGCAGGCAAAAGGUGCAACUGACAUGGCCUAAUUUUAAAAUUCAAAGUGAAGAGUAAUGCUAUAACCAUGAGGAGGUGAUUGUUCGGAUGAUAAGUACCCUCUACCUUCAAUACUAAGAUAGUGGAUUCAAGUCACCAAGUGAACAUAAAAGUUGGAAGCUCCUACGAGAGAUCGAAAAAAAAAACUCACUAAGUCAAGACAAAGAAAGAACUUGGUUGAUUGAACUUAUUGUCAUUUUCGAAAAACAGAGGAAAAGGACACGAGGGAAGACAAGUUUAUUAGAGUGACUUACAUGAAGCCAUUUGUGAGUAGUUCUCUUGAAGCCAGUUGCAAAGACAAUAACAUCAAAUUGAUGACAUUUACCAUUCUCCAACACAACAUCAUUUCCUCUAAUGCUUCUCAUUCCAGGUAACACCUGUCACCAUCAUUUUCUUUUUAUUACUUUCUGCAUGAACAUUUACUCUUCUUUUUCUGUUGCUUUUCUUUUAAGGUUUGAAAAAAAAAAAAAAUUGAAUUCCAAUACCAAAUAAAAUAAUAUGUAUGUACAUGCAUAAAAUGUAUCGAUAAUUAUGGUACAAUGACAGCAACAACAUUCAUACUCAGUAAAAUCCCACAAUUGAAGUCUGAAGAGGAUAGAGUGUAAGUGGUUGUUUUCGAAAGACCCUCGAUUCAAGUGAAUAUUGAUAAUUACAUUAUUUACCUGGAUUUCACCAGACUUGAUCUUUUGAUAAGUUCCCACGUCAAUGACUGGGUACUUGCCAUACUUUAUUUUAGAAGCAAAGGGUCCCUCUUCAGGCCUUUUCACCCCAUAAUACUUGCUUAUAUCUCCAUACAUUAUCUUGCUUAACAUCACCAUUAUGUUGUCCACCACUGUGUAUGCAACCUUAUACUUCAACAACAUCAGUCCCAAAUAUGCCAUUUCUCUUGAUAUCAAGUUUAUCUGUGAUGAGAUCAUGCAAAUUUUGAAACAAAAAUUCUGUAAUUAUUGAAAUGAGACGAGGUCGGUUCAUGAAGGGUAAAGCCAUUAAAGCAAAUUGUCAAUAUAAAAUAUAUUGGUUCACUUGACCUGAUGAUGAGAAACAAGGUUCAAGUGCUACUAGUGCCACCAAAUUGCAAGUCUUAGUAACGAAAAAAUAGAUUAAUAAGAAACUAAAAUUAAAUUAAUUAUUUAAUUACCGGGCUUCGAACGAUGAUGGAAGUGUUAGCACCAUAAUUAGCAAGAUCAAGUGCAAUUUCCAUGCCAGAAUUUCCACAACCAACAACCAAUACAUUUUUACCUCUAAAAUUGUCACCAUUUUUGUACUUAGUAGAAUGAAAAGCCUUUCCUUUGAAACUUUCCAAGCCAGGGACCUUAGGGAUAAAAGGGUAACUAGCUUCUCCAGUAGCUACAACAAGAAAUUUACAAAAAUACUCAUCAACAUGACCAGAAUUACCAUUUCUAACCUUCACAACCCAUUUUCCUUUGGAUUCAUCAAAUUUUGCAAACUCAACUGUUCUUUUGUACAAAGGGGUGAUAUUAAAAUAAGAAACAUAGUCAUCCAAGUAUUGAAUGAAUUCUUUUUUAGGUAUAUAAGUAGGUGAAGAAGAAGGAAAAGGAAUGUGAGGAAGUUGACAAAAUUUUUUGGCUAAAUGAAGGUGAACUCUAUCAUAGGUAUAUUUUUUCCAUAUGGGAGAGUAACAAUCUUCUUUUUCAAGAAGUAGAUUUGGUAUGGAGAAUUUUUUUAGACAUGCAGAUGUGGCUAGGCCAGCAGGGCCAGCACCAACAAUGAUCACCAUAGGUUCUUGAUGAUCAUGAUGAGUUAGUAUUGCCAUGGUUGAAGUGAAAUUGAUCACAUAGAAAUGAGAAGAAAAUUUGUUGGGAUGGAGAGAAAAAAGAAGAUGGAUUUAUAUAUACAAGGAAUUGUUAAGUACUAGGUGAGAACUUUUGGACUCCUAAAUUCUUUCUUGACUAUUUGAGUGUUUAUUUAUGACGACUUCAUCUUUCUUUUCCUUUGUUUGCUUGAUUUGUUAAAUUAGGUUGACGCUGAUGGAGAGGGGGUGUCCAGUAAAUCUCAAUGGUACCAAGAUAAAAGCCACUUGGCAUUGGCGGCAGAGGCGAACCAGGAUUUGAAGAUAGAGGGUUCACUAUUAUCUUUUAUAUGGUCAUGUCUAUUAACUAUAUAAUUUGGCAUAUAAUUUUUUUAAAUUUAAAAAUUAUAAUUAUGAUCAAAGUAUAAACUUCAAAAUCAUCAAAUAACGUUAAUUUAGUACUAAUAUAACAAAAGUAGACUAUUCUUUCAUACUGGAUAUCGACGCAUUUUCAUAUUCUGAAAACGGUCAAUGAUUGCAUCGUUGCUUAUAUUUACAAAUACAUCCUUCUCAAUGUAACAAACUAAAUAAUCAAUUAAAAAAUGCAUCACAAAUACUACUACGCAACUCAUUCUUGAUAUGCUCCAUGGAUUAAAAAGCUCUCUCUACAGUUACAGCAGUAGCGAGAGAAUUGAAAAGGCUAUCAGUUGAGUGUGCGUGUUCUAACGUAUAUUUAGUAGUCGCUUGGUUAUGAAAAUUAUUUUCUUUUUUUUGAAAAAUUAUUUCACUUUAGUGAAAAAAGUGAAAACAAGAUGGGUUUGGCCAUCAAAAUUUCAAAUAUAAUUCUGGGAUUAUAUUUGGAAAAGUAAAAACAAGUUUUACUUGUUUUUACUUUUUUCACUCAUAUUUCUCUCACAAAAUUUUAAAAACAACUUUAAUUUAUAUUUAUGGUCAAACACAACUCUAAUUUCCAUUUCAACUCUAACUUCAACUCCAAAAAAUUAUGAUUUUCAUGGCCAAACGAGGUAUACUUGGCUUGAAGAGAACUUGGGAAAAUUGUAAAUUUUAGGGAUUUGAUGUUGUGGGCUUGGUGGUUUUGGGUUUGGGAUGGGUGAAUCUCAAAAAUAGACCCAAUUUGGGGUGGCUUUCAAAUUUUAGCCCCAAAUAAAAAAGUUUCCUCAAAAUAGCCUUUACCUAUUAGCUAAUAUUUUUUUGGAUAAAAUUACCUCUAAUCAAUGGAGUAAAUUACAUAAAUGAUCCUCAUAAUGCAUAACAACUCCAUAUUUAUAUCUUUCAACUUUUUUUUCUCUUUUUAAUUUUACAUUGAUUUUUAUUUUUUCUUUUCUCUUUUUAUUUUUAAUUUUCUCAACCCUUACUUUUUUCCUGUUUUCCUCUCAACUUCUUUUUUUUUCUAUUUUAUUUUAUAUUUUUAUUAUUUUUUAUUUUUUUUUCUCUACCUUUAUUUUUAUUUAAUGUUUCUUUUUUUAAUCAACCUUUAUUUUUUCCUAUUCUCUCUCAACUUCUACAUUUUCUUUUAAUUUUAUUUUUUUAAUAUUUUUCUUCAUUUUCUUCUGUUUCCACAAUUUUAUUAUUUUUGUUCUUUUCUUCGAUUUCUUCAAUUCAAGUUAUAUCUCAUGAGCAAAAGUUGACACUAUCACAUUAUAAAGGAAAGAUUUAUGACUUUCGAACAAUAAGUUACCUUUCAUGGGCAAGAGUUGACAUUACUACAUUGUAGAGGUAAGACUUAUGACUUUCAAAUAACAAGUUAUGUUUCAUGAACAAAAGUCGACACUACCACAUUGUAUUUUGAUUUAUGGGAUGUUCUACAACUAUUGUCUUAGAGACGAGACUUAGCUCAAGGACUUUUAAACAACAAAUUAUGCCCCACGGGCAAGAGUUGACUCUACCACAUUAUGUUUUCAUUUAUAAGAUGUUCUACGACUAUUGCCUUAAAGGCAAGACUUGGCUCAAAGACUUUCAAACAACAAGUUAUGUUUUAUAGGCAAGUCGACACUACCAUAUUGUAUUUUGAUUUAUGGGAUGUUCUACAACUAUUGUCUUAGAGACGAGACUUAGCUCAAGGACUUUUAAACAACAAAUUAUGCCCCACGGGCAAGAGUUGACUCUACCACGUUAUGUCUUCAUUUAUAAGAUGUUCUACAACUAUUGCCUUAGAGGCAAGACUUAGCUCAAGGACUUUCAAACUACAAAUUAUGCCCUACAGGCAAGAGUUGACACUACCACGUUAUGUUUUUAUUUAUGAGAUGUUUUACAACUCUUGCCUUAGAGGCAAGACUUAAUUAGCUCAAGAACUUUCAAACUACAAAUUAUGCCCUACGAGCAAGAGUCGACACUACCACAUUGUAUUUUGAUUUGUGGAAUGUUCUACAACUAUUGUGUUAGAGGCAAGACUUAGCUUAAGGACUUUUAAACAACAAAUUAUGCUCCACGGGCUAGAGUUGACUCUACCACGUUAUGUCUUCAUUUAUGAGAUGUUCUACAACUAUUGCCUUAGAGGCAAGACUUAAUUAGCUCAAGGACUUUUAAACUACAAAUUAUGCCCCACGGGCAAGAGUUGACACCACCAAGUAAUGCUUUUAUUUAUGAAAUGUUCUACAACCCUUGCCUUAGAGGCAAGACUUAAUUAGCUCAGAGAUUUUUAAACUACAAAUUAUGCCCCACAGGCAAGAGUUGACUCUACCACGUUAUGUUUUCAUUUAUGAGAUGUUCUACAACUAUUGCCUUAGAGGCAACACUUGAAUCAAGGACUUUCAAACUAUAAAUUAUGCCCCACGGGCAAGAGUUGAUACUACCACGUUAUGUCUUCAUUUAUGAGAUGUUCUACAACUAUUGCCUUAGAGGCAAGACUUNNNNNNNNNNNNNNNNNNNNNNNNNNNNNNNNNNNNNNNNNNNNNACUACCACGUUAUGUCUUCAUUUAUGAGAUGUUCUACAACUCUUGCCUUAGAGGUAAGACUUAAUUAGCUCAAGGACUUUCAAGCUACAAAUUAUACCCCAUGGGCAAAAGUUGACUCUACCACAUUAUAUUUUUAUUUAUGAGAUAUUCUACAACUAUUGCCUUAGAGGCAAGACUUAGCUCAUGGACUUUUAAACUAUAAAUUAUGCCCCGCGGACAAGAGUUGACACUGCCACGUUAUGUCUUCAUUUAUGGGAUGUUCUACAACUCUUGACUUAGAGGCAAGACUUAGCUUAAGGACUUUCAAAUAAUAAAUUAUGCUCCACGGGCAAGAGUUGACACUACCACAUUAUGUCUUCAUUUAUGAGAUGUUCUACAACUCUCGCCUUAGAGACACGACUUAUCUCAAAAAAUUUUAAAGAAUUUCGUGACAACAAUUUAUGCCCUUAAAUUUGCUUUGAUGUCAAAAAAAGAAGAUACCUUUGUGGAUUAUUCAUUUUUUUAUUUAUUAAUAAAAUAUAAUAGAAGUUGAGAAAAAAGAAAAAAGCGAUCAAACAAAAUAGAAAAAUAAAAAAAAGUUUUAGAAAGAAAAGGAAAGAAAAAAAUAAAGAUCAAGAAAAAAAUGAAGAAUUAAAAAAAUUGAUAAAAAUAAAAAUGAGAGGAAAAAUAAAAAUAAAGUUUGAGAAAAAUGAGGGGAAAAAAGAGAACAGAAAAAAGAAAAAAGCGAUCAAACAAAAUAGAGAAAUAAAAAAAAGUGAGAAAAAAAAGGCAAGAAAAAAUAAAGAUUAAGAAAAAAGCGAAGAAUUAAAAAAAUUGAGAAAAUAAAAAAUGAGGGGAAAAAAUAAAAAUAAAGUUUGAGAAAAAUGAGGGGAAAAAAAGAGAACUGAUAAAAAAUAAAAAUAAAAGAAAAAUAAAGGUUAAAAAAAAUGAAUUAAAAAAAGAAAAAAAAAAGAGAUAAUGCUUGAGAAAAAAAUAAAGGUUGAGACAAAUGAAUUAAAACAUGAAAAUAAAAUUAAAGAAAAAAAAUAAAAAGUAAAAAUAAUAAAAAUAGAAUAAUAAAACUAAAGGAAAAAAUAAAAAAGUGCAAAUAAUAAAAAAAUAGAAUAAUAAAAUUAAAGGAAAAAAUAAAAAGUGAAAAUAAUAAAAAAUAAAAUUUGAGAGAUAAAUAAGUAUGAAAAGUUUAAAAAAUAUAUUUGAGGUGUAGAGGGACAAAAUGGUACUUGUACUAUACUUAAAAAGUAAGGAAGAUUAUUUUUUAAAUACAUUUUUUAUUGGGAUCAAAUAUCUAAAGUCACCCAUAUUUGGAUUUAUGACAUGCAAUUUCCUUGUUUGGGAUUGGAGAAUUGUCAUGGCCCAUAGGUUUAUUAAAUAAGAAUAUACAUUAAAUUAAUUUAAAUGGCUGGAGUAUUAAUUUUAGGGAUUUGAUUUUGUGGGCUUGGAAGUUUUGGGUUUGGGAUUAGAGAAUUGUCAUGGCCUAUGGGUUUAUUAAAUGUGUAAACAACAUAAAUCCCCUAGUUAAUGAAACUAAUUACACAAAAUUCCUUCUUGUUUUCUCUUUCCCGAUUUUUGCAAAGAUACUCAAACAUUCGGCCUUCUAUUAUACAUUGGUUGAAUGUAUGAUGAAAUAGCUAAUCCUAAAUUUAAGGUAAAAGAUAUCAUAAAUUAUUUUACAGUCCUUAAUUAACGACAAUAAUUAGCUAAUAUUAACUCGUUUAUAGAUAAAACUAGUAACUGAUGUUUGAAUUUCAAAAAAUUUCUUAAACAUUAAAUUUUUUAAUUUUUUUCUGGGAAUCACGAUCUGGAAAGUCAAAAACAACCAAUUUCUUCUACAUACAUUCUUCAAUACUACUAAAAUCAAUAUGAAUAUCACCAUAUUGUUGCGACAUUCUGAAAUUUGGGAGUCAGAAAUUAGUUAUCAGUCAUACAAAGGUGACGCAAUAAUUGUUUCAAAAAGUAUAACUUUCUUGAAAUUGGUUGCUACGAUCGCCAUGGAAUUGGAUAUCGACGAAGUACGUAAAAAAACUAAAGUUAAAUAUGUGGUUGAAGGAAAUUCUUCUCCAAUUGUCAUAAGGAACGAUAAUGGAGUGAGGGUUUACGUUGAGUUGAAGAAAUAAUUUUCUGGAUUGGUUAAUUUUCCGCUUUGUAUUUCCACUUUCGACAAAUUCAAUAAGGAAAUACAAUUUGAUAAAGAAGCAAGUGUUGUAUUGUGUAUCGAUUUUAUUGCUGAUCUUAUAAUCUAUGGUAAUAUGGUUUUAGAGGUUUAGAAGAAGUUUAUAUUCUAAAGUUGGGUCCUGUGUUGCUGAAACUCAUAAAGGUACGAAUGUAUAAUGUGUUAUUAUACAUUCAUGCCAAUGAAUAAUGAAACUGUGUCAGUCCAAGAAAUGUAUGGUAAUAUGAUUUUCAUUCUGAAGUAGUUUGUGUUUUAUAGUUGGGUUUUGUGUAGUUGAAUAAUUAAAUUACGAAUGUAUAAUAUUUGAUUAUACAUUCGGACAAAUGUAUAAUGAAAACUCAAGCAGUGGCCAAGAAUUUUAUUUUGUCCAUAUAUAUAUUUUUUUAAUACUUUUGUUUAAUACAUUGACUCAGUGUGAAAAAAUUGAAGUUAUGUACUGAAUUGUCGCAGAAAAAAUUGCAAGUGAGUCUUGAAGACGUCUUCUAUGAAUGAAUCGGAAAUGUGCCUAGCAAUAUGGCUAAUGGGCUGCAGAUCUAGGCCAUCCAGUAAAAUGGUCUCUAUAUGGCCAGGCCAAUUGCCACAAACUAAUUUUACUCUUUCACCAAUUGCAUCAUCUACUAUCCGUCUAGAACUUAUUGAUAAUGGUAAACAAUGAGAAAAAGUUGCAAAGGAACAAAGAAAAAUAAAUAUUGUGACUAAUUUCAUCAUAUUUUUAUUCAAAGAGUAUCAAAGAACAUAAGUCAAGGGUCUAUCAUAAAUAGUGAUUACACUUAUGAAAUAAAGUUGGUUAUGUUGAACGAAAAGAAUUGAUUGAUUUCGUAUAGUUAUAGAAGUAGUUAAUGUUGAUGUGAUCGGACAAAACAAAAUUUAUCUCAAAAACUAAUCCUUAUCUGAUCUAUUGAGGAGAAUUUUGUUCGAAUUAUAAGUGGUAAUAGCUUAAAAGAAUUUGUAUCCUAUCAGGUUAUGUAAAAGACUAUACUUAAUUUAUCANNNNNNNNNNNNNNNNNNNNNNNNNNNNNNNNNNNNNNNNNNNNNNNNNNNNNNNNNNNNNNNNNNNNNNNNNNNNNNNNNNNNNNNNNNNNNNNNNNNNNNNNNNNNNNNNNNNNNNNNNNNNNNNNNNNNNNNNNNNNNNNNNNNNNNNNNNNNNNNNNNNNNNNNNNNNNNNNNNNNNNNNNNNNNNNNNNNNNNNNNNNNNNNNNNNNNNNNNNNNNNNNNNNNNNNNNNNNNNNNNNNNNNNUUUUAGAGUCCUAGUUAACAGAUAGUAGAUUGGUAUGGAAUAGUAAUAGAUAAGACUAUAAAAUAUAUUUGUAUAUCAUGUAGAUCGCUUCAAAUUGUGACCUAUUAUUUACUUAAUCGGCAUCAAGUUAAGUGAUAUUUUUGCUUCUUGGGAGUCAAUUAAACAGAUAAGAUCAACUCAAUAUUACUAAAAUUAUAUAUUCAAAAAUUAUGUAAAAAAUAUAAUAAGUUGCAACUCAAUUCAUGUCAAUAUAACAUACCCAAUGCAAUUCUACAUGUAGGCUCCUAUCAAAAAAAUCUCUUGAACUCUACUAAACAUUGGCUGACACAAACUUGAACCAUUGAGUUUGAGAAUUAUCAAUACUUUUUUCAUCUAAGCCAACACAUUUCCUAACCAAAACUUUAGAUGAAGAAUAAUAAGUAUCAUAAUCCAAACACAACUCCUUCCCAUUCUCAUCAAUAUUGAAAGUUGAUAAUUUGAAGCAAGUUUUCAUGUAUUUUGCUCAUUGCAAUCUAAAAAUAACAGUUAAACCUGUAUGAGGGUAACUAUACAUCUAAAAAUUUAAAUCAGGACCAUAAUUAAACAACAAAUACAAAUGUAUGAUGGUUAUUUAUACAUCUAACAGUUUAUAUCAGACCCUAGAUAAAUAAUAAUUACACAUGUAUGAGGGUAACUUACACAUCUCAAAAUUAAUAUCAAACCUAAUUAAGAAACAGAUAUACAUGUAUGUGGGUAGCUUACACAUUUAAAAAGUAAAUUGUUGUAAUGUAUAAUGUCACCUUAUACAAAAUUAAUACUUUAUAUCUGUUUCUUUUUUCAUAACUGUCAAUGUAUAACCUAUAGAAAUAUAUUUCACAACACCUACAUUAUACAUUAGUGGGAUGAAAUAGCUAAUGUAUAAUGUCUUAUUAUACAUAUGUCAACUUAUACAUAAACUCAUAAUCAAUAUCUUCGGAAGACGUGGUCGACCGGAAUCAUCAAACUUCUUCUUACUUGCCGCUUUAGAACCUGGCUUCUUUGAUCUAGAACUAGCCGCUUUCUUCAAUUUCUGCAUUGUUGCCGGUUCAUUUCGAUGCUUUGAACGAUUCUCUGCGAAAUUAGAUUCUUCGAAAUCAAAUGUACCAGGAACAAACCCAAUGGGAAUAUCUUGUUUUUGAGAAUCUAACUGACUAAGUCCUAAACUAAAGUUAGGACGAGAAUCCAUUACCAAUUUUACACUAAAUCGAUUAAGCAAAAGCAAGUACAAACCAAGAAAAUAAAAAAAUCUUAUAUGAAGAAAAACGAAAAAUUCAAACUACGAAAGUUGAAUAUACUUGCAAAAUACAGUAAUUUCAUAGAAACGAACAUGCAUUCAGAGAAUAAAUGAAACAAAUCCUAAAUUGGUAAAGUUGAAAAAAAAAAAGUAAAUCAAUAAAAUCAAUUAAAGCUUCAAAACUUACAAAUCGAUAACCUCCAAGUAGAUUGCUUGAAUUUUGCCGUGAAAAAGGGGUUUUCAAAUAUGGAGAAAAUAUCAGGUGUAAUGGGAGCAGACGGGGAGCAAAAUACGGAAGAAAAGAUAAUGUUUUAGAUGUAUAAGGUUUAUGAGAGAGAAAGUAACCAAAAAGGGGAUUUAUGUAAUUAGUUUGGGAUUUGUGUAAAUACUUUACCAAAUUGGCAUUUAAUGUAAUAAGGUAACUUUAGUUUGUGUAUAUAUGUAAAUUUUAAUUAUUAAAUAAGAAUAUACAUUAAAUUAAUUUAAAUGGAUGGAGCAUUAAUUGUAAAGGCAAAAACAAAAAAAGGACACUUGCCAGGAAUCGAACCCACAACGUCCCAGGUCAAGAGACCUUUCAUCUGUUUUUCAGACCAAUGCACCCAAAUUACAUUUGAUAUUAUGGGUGCACAAUUUAAUAUAUUACCACGUUUUUACAGUAUAUAUACAUAUAUGUACAAUUUUUUUUAAAAUUACCGGGUGCACGUGCACCCUCACGGAUCCACGUGGGUCCGCCUCUGGUAGCAGCUUAGAGUUUUAAUGGUUUUAGAUGUAUUUGAUUUUUUUUUCACAAAAUAUACCAAAUCUAAAACCCCAAAACCGAUCCCCCCCCCUUUGUUUUUCUUUGUAAAAUUUGAACUCAAAAACCAAAAUGUUGAUAUCAAUAUUUGUUGUUGCAUUAUUGAUAUCAGUAUAGAAUGUAUUAUAAUUUUUGUAAUGAAUAUUCUUAUACAGAAAAUAUUGCAUUUAUCCAAAAUAACUACUAUUAUUACAUAGUCCUAGUUAAUAUUUGAAGUCAAACAAAAUUUUGACCAAUUAUAUAACCUUAUAAUAUUUGUAAGAAUAAUUUCGGAUUUUAAAAUAAUCAAAUUUGAAAAAGAUACUUUAUUUUGAUGGAAAAAAAUUAAUUAAAAAAGAUUAAAUUAUCUUAUAUAAAACUUUAAACAUGCAGAUCAAUAAAAUGAAUUAGGAAUAAAUAUUUCUUAAUAAUAAAAAUAUCAAUAAAAAAUUAUAAUAAUUUUUAUAUUAUGAAAUGUAAAUAUGAGUGACUAAUAAAUUAGAAUAUAUAUAAUCGAAGUAUUACCAUAGAAUGAAUAUUUAUAUGACAAAAAGUAUUUAUGAUUUCAUUCAAUGUAAGACAAUUAAGGAAGCAUGACAAAAUUAAUUGAGAAAUAUAAACAGAAAAUUAAUAAUCAAUUAACAAUUAUAUACAUAUAUAUGGAAAAGAAUAUUGUACCAACUGCAAUUAAUCUAGAAGUUCUAAUGUCAUAACAAUAAAAUCAAUUAGCAGAUAGUAAUCAUUUAACUUAUAUGAAUAAGAUUAUAAUAAUCAAAAAGUCAUUUCAAAAUAAAAAAAUAUAAUGAAAAAGAUGUUGUCCCUGAAAAAAUAUACACAAUUAAUUUAAAUAAUAAUAUUAUUUACAAAAUAUUUAUGAUUUCACUAUAAAUUAGAAAAUCAAGAAAGUAUUAAAAAAAAUUAUUUAGAAAAAAAUAAUUAAUAAUCAAGUAACUUAUAUAAAAAAGAUAAUUAUGAAAAAUGAGUCCUUCCAAAAUAAAAAAAAUAUUAUGAAAAAGAUAUCAUCACUAAAAAUGUGUAUAUAAUUAAUUUAAGUAACAAUCUCUCUCUCUCUUUCUCUCUCUCUCUCUCUCUCUCUCUCAUAUAUUUUGUUUUUUUAUUCUAUUAUUUCAUAUUGUGAUAAAAAAAAAAUUAGAAUUGACUCCUAUUAAUGAACACUAUUAUAAUUAUUUAUAUAUUACUCUUUAUAUAUCAUAAAGCAAAAUGUUUGAUGAAUACUUUUGUUUUUUUAUUCUAUUAUUUCAUAUUGUGAUAAAAAAAAAAUUAGAAUUGACUCCUAUUAAUGAACACUAUUAUAAUUAUUUAUAUAUUACUCUUUAUAUAUCAUAAAGCAAAAUGUUUGAUGAAUUACUUUUGUUUUUUAUUCUAUUAUUUCAUAUUGUGAUAAAAAAUAAUCAGAAUUGACUCCUAUUAAUGAACACUAUUAUAAUUAUUUAUAUAUUUCACAUUGUGGUAAAACAUAAUUAAAUUUGACUUCUAUUUAAUUAGUAUAUAGAUUAUUUCAUAGAUAUGUAAAAAUUUAAAAAAAAUUGACAUAAAAAUUCCGUCAAUUACUCCUAAUUCCACUAUCAUUAGGAGUAAUUCCACAAUUUGUAUUCUAAAUAUAUAUUCCAAUCAAGCUAUAGGAGUAAUUCCAUAAUCUGUAUUCCAAUUUUCAAAUAUAUAGUGCAAUCAAACGAUACUCCUAAUUUCACAAUUUGUAUUCCAAUUUUCAAAUACAUAUUCCAAUCAAUCAAGUGAUUUAAGAUCAUACAAUUGGUAGAUGGAUAUGGUAAGUGAAUUGUAGAUUUUCUUACUCCCAUGGAUGAAAAGUAGAUGGCUAUGGUAAAUGAAUCGUAUAUAUAUUAAAUCAAACCUUUACACUGACAAUCAUUACCAUAUAUGGCUAUGGUAAGUGCUACUAAAUUGUAAUACAACUAACCAUCAUGAGGCCAUAAUUUUAUAUGGAAAAGUAAUAUAUUUUCGUCAUAUAUUCUAAUCAUAGUUGAUUCUAACUAAUUUUGUAAAAAAAAUAUAUAAUUAUAAAAGAAAAUGCAUAUUUAACAUAAUUAUUAUUAGUUAAGACAAGUGUCAUCUUGAGAACUAACUAUUUGAAUUCUUAUAACAAAAAGCUAUCAUUUCAUAACAAGAAGUUAUUUUGUUGAUUAUUUAAAUAUUAAAUAUUAUUUCAUAUUGUGGUAAAAAAUAAUUAAGAUUCAUUUCUAUUAGAGGAAAACUAUUAUGAUUUAAUAUUAUUUCGUUUAAUGUUAUUUCAUAUUUUGAUAAAAAAUAAUUAACAUUCAUUUCUAUUAGAGGAAAACUAUUAUGAUUUAAUAUUAUUUCGUUUAAUGUUAUUUCAUAUUUUGAUAAAAAAUAAUUAACAUUCAUUUCUAUUAGAGGAAAACUAUUAUGAUUUAAUAUUAUUUCGUUUAAUGUUAUUUCAUAUUUUGAUAAAAAAUAAUUAACAUUCAUUUCUAUUAGAUGAAAACUGUUAUGAUUGUUCAAUUAUUUCAUAUUAAGAAUAGUAGUUAAUUAUUUCAUAUUUAUUUUAUAUUGUGAUAAAUAAUAACUAAGUUUUAUUUAUAUUGGAUGAAAAAUAUUAAGAGUCAAGGAACAUUAAUAUUAUAGAUUUAUUCAAAAUUUUCAUAUUAUGGUAUAUAUAAAUCAACUAACUUUGACUAAUAUUGAAUGAAAACUACAAUUACGGAAAGAGAGAUAAUUAUGUAAUCAAUUAAAUAUAAAAAAUUACANNNNNNNNNNNNNNNNNNNNNNNNNNNNNNNNNNNNNNNNNNNNNNNNNNNNNNNNNNNNNNNNNNNNNNNNAUAUUUACAUUUUAAACAAUUUAUACUUGAGUUGUAGGUUAAGAAUUAUAAAUUGCUAAUAAAAUUAUUAAUUCAUAUUAAUUUUCCUUUAUAGAUAGACUUUUUUCAACAUGUUAGGUUAUUCUAUAAAAAAUUUACUAUAUUGUGUAUAAUAUUUCCAUAAAAAAUAAUUUACAUGACAUAAAAUCUCUUUUUUGCCAUAUUAAUGAAUUUUAAAAAAAUAUAAAAGCAAACGAUUUAUAGUAAAUUUCAAUCAAUAUCGAUUAUUUCCUUUUUUAGUUAGAAAUAGUCUUGCUAAUUCUACCUAAACAAUUUAUUACUAAUUUAUUGCUCAAAAAUGGUAAAUUGCUUAUAAAUUAUAAUCUCAAUUAAUUCUCUUUCAUGUAGGGAUUCUUUUUCACAAGUAAACAAACUUAUUCAUUUAAAUCACAGCCUUUUGCGUGACCAAAUUAUUUGAUCAAUUUAUUUAUUUUUACUUGGUUUAGAUUUUUAAGUAAAUAUUAAUAUGAAAAAUUUAUUUCAUAUUUUAAUUAUCACACUAAUUAUAUGAAAUUUAUUAAUUGAUUAGCAGUCAAGCAACAUAUAUGAUAAAAUAAUAUUGUAAUUAAGAGUCAUUUAUAUAUAAAAAUCUCUAUGUAAAAUACUAUAUAUAUAUAUAUAUGUGUGUGUGUGUGUGUGUGUGUGUGUGUGUGUGUGUGUGUGUGUGAAUUCUAACUCCACGAUAUCAAUCUAUGAAAUUAUCUUAAGAAGAAAGCACAGAAAUAAGAACUCGCUCGACUAAGGAGGAGGUUUUAUUCAACUCUUAGUUUAUUUCCACAGAAGAAAGAAAAGACCAUUGUUGUGUACACAUAUGGUUCGAUAAAGAAUUAGUUUUGAACUUUUUGAUUAUUUUUCUCUGAAUACUAUUCACUCACAUACUCACUAUCAUAUUCUAUAAUGAUUUAAUUAUUGUAAUAUAGUUUCUUCUGUAAUUUGUUAAAAAAAAAAUUGAUAUUAAUUGCUUGAGGAUAUGUCUUUUGUUUUUUAAUUUAUUUCUGAGUAGUUGAUGAUUUCUAGAUUAUGAACCCAACUGAUUUUAUUUUCUUAUUUAGUCUUGCUAUUUUUUUUUAUCUUCCAAUUAAUAGUUGCAUUCCCUUUCCUAUAUUUUUCAUACUUCGAUUUUGUUUACAUUUUUGAAAUCUUUAUUAUUGGUAUGAUUAUUCAUUAAACUUAAUUGAUACUACUUUGUUUUUCUAUAUAAUUUUUGGAAAAAAUAAAGAUACGAAAACCUAACAGAAUUACAAAUUAUUGAGUGUCAUUUUGAGAAAAGGUGAAUUUCCCUAUUUGAUUUCAAAUGAGGUUGUGAAUACGUGUGUAUGUGUGUGUGUGUGUAUUGGUAAAAUAUUUAUAUACACAUCUAUAUACAUAAUAAAGUUGUAUAGUCUAGCCUAAAUUUUGAAUUCUUACAACAAAAAACUAUCAUUUUAUAAUAAAAAAGCUAUUUUAUUGAUUAUUUAAAUAUUUAAUAUUAUUUCUUAUUUCAUAUUUUGGUAAAAAAAAUAACUAAUAUUUAAUUCUAUUGGGUGGAAGCUAUUAUGAUUUCAUACUAUUUCAUUUAAUAUUAUUUCAUACUGUGGUUCAAAAAAAUUAAUUCUGUUGGAUGAAAAUCAUUACGAUUGUUCAAUUAUUUCAUAUUAAGAUUAGUAGUUAAUUAUGUCAUAUUAUUGUAUAUUUUUAUUGAUUAUUUAUUUAUUUAAUAUUAUCUCACAUUUCAUAUUGUGGUAAAAAUAAAUGAUUGUUUAAUUAUUUCAUAUUAAGAUUAGUAGUUAAUUAAUUUAUGUUUUGUCGAUUAUUUAUUUAUUUCAUAGCCUUCGUAUGUUUAAAAAAAGUAUGUAAUAUUAGUUGAGUGAUUACUUGGCAUAUAUGAAAAGACAUAUUGAGUAACUCAAUAUGACAGGGUAAUCAAUUACAAUCAAGAGACAUAAUUGGAAAAGUAAUAUUUUAAUUGAGAUGAAAAACUUUUGGUAUUAAUGGAAGGAUGUAAAAUUUUGAAUUCAAAUAAAACAAAAAUACGAAUUUAAUUGAAAGUUAGUUAAAAUUAGAUAUUACUACUAUAUUGAGAUUAAUCCAACUAAUUAAACAAUCUUUGUAUGAAUUUCACUAAUUAUAUUUUUGUAUAAUAGAAAAUAGUUAAUUGUCAAUCUUGAAACAAAUAUUAUCAAAUGGGGAAUAUGAUAAUAUAGAUGUCACCAAUAUGGAUUGUAGUGCAGUGGAUGAGGCUGCUCUACCCUUAACCAGAGGUCGAGGGUUUGACCUUGGGUAUGGAGAAAACUCUGUUGUGAGCGCUGUCACCUUAAUGGGCCCUGCAACGCGCGAUCCGAAUUAGUUGGGGCUCCAAUGAGGGCACCGAACACCGAAUGAAAAAAUAAAAAAAAAAUAUAGAUGUCAUCCCUCAAAAUAUGCAAACAAUAUAAAUAAUGCUAUUAUAUUAAAAAAAAUUAUGAUUUCAUUACAACUGAAUAAAUCAAGAAAGUAUUACAAGAAAAAAUUUUGAAUUAAUAAUCAAUGAGAAAUCAAACAACUUAUAUGAAAAAAGUUUAAUUGACAUUUAAAAAAAAAAAUAUUUCAACUUUAAUCGCAAAUAAGUUUGACCUAUUUUUGUAAAACAAUAAAUGAAUAAAUAUAAGAAAAUCCGUAAUUAGGAAAGAAAAUAAUUGUUACCUUAUUUGAGUGAUUAGAAAAUUAUAAAGAUAAUUAAAUAAUCAAUUGACUAUAGUCAAAUUAUAAUUUUAUAAGAAAUUUUUGAGAAAUAAAUCAGUAAUUGAGAAAAAAAAAUAAUUCUUACCUUUUUAAAAUUCUUCCCCAAUUUAUGAAGGUAACUAAUAUCAAAUUAAUAUAAUCAAACUAUAAAAAUAUGAGAAAUUUAUGGGAUUGAAUUUCCGAAAUUAUAAAGGUGACUAAUAUCAAUUGUUUUCGUUUUUGAGUCCUUUACGUAAUUGUACAUUAAUUAAAUAUAAUCAAGAUAUAAAAUUAGGAUAAAAUUAUGGUAAGUAGAUAUUUAAAAUAUUAAUAUUAAUUUUAUUUCCAUCAAAUUAAUUAGAUUAAAUUGAUGUAAAAAUCAGUUAAUAUUGAGAAUUAUUUUAACAGAUUAUAUAUGCAAAGUUACAUAAUUGGUAUACAUAUAUUGAUAAAAAAAAAAAACGAACAUUGACUAAUACUUUAGCCAUAAAUAUAUUUUAAAAUUUACAACCUUAAAUUUAAGGAACUUGAGUUAUAUAUUAUGAUUAUAAAAUUGAUUCUUAUUAAUUAAAGUUAAUUAGUUGAUUGUGUAGUCAUAUUAUAAUUAUGUUGUGCAUUAUUUAUUUAAUGGAAAUACAUAUAAUUAAUUAACUUAUUUUGUGCAAUCUACUAUGAACUUAUUAAUUCAAAUGAAAUAAUUUUUAAAUGGUAAGUUUGAACUAUAAAAUAAAGGAGAUUAUUAGUUGAAAUUUUAAAUUAAUAUACAUUAAUCUAUUUUAGUGGGGUAUUAGUCUUCAACAAGAUCUCCACAUUUAAAUGGAGUAAUUCUAUGGCUUUAGCAUCUCUUAUGUAUUAAAAAAAUAGAGACAAGAAAAUAUAAUGCCACAACAUUUUUAGACUAUUUAAUUCAUUUAUCACGUUUUAAAAUAUUGUUUAUAUCAAUUCAGUGAUGUUUAUAUGAAAAAGUUAAAUUUUGAAAAAAUAAAUAUCUUAAGUUUUAUAAUUUAAGUUAGUUUGUGUACUAACUUGAAAAAGUUAAUUUAUAAUUUACAUUCUAUUUUUAUUAUAUGGAAAAUUUGACCUUAUAUGGCUAUAUAUACUAAUUCAAUAACAUAGAAAUAUUGUCACACUUUUCUUUUCUCUCACUCUCUCUUUCUCUCUCUCUGAUAUGUUUAUUGAUCAUUAGUCUUAUUGGUAUUUAUCAAGUUUUUCAUUAUGAAUAUGUAGAAAUAAAAAUUGUCAAUAGUUUGCUAAAUAUUAAUUCAAAAUUUUCAUAAAUUUCAGGCUUUAAAUAUAAAGGUCUCGACAUAAUAAGAAUCACACAUAUUGAUGAAAUGUUAUCAAUAUUUCAAAAUGAGAGUGCAGUAGAAGAAUAUACAUAUGAGAAUGUUGAACAAUGUAAUCACAAUGUAACAUAGGUUUGAAACAAGAAAAUCAUUUGUUGAAAAAGAUUUGAAUUAUUCGUAGUGAUUUUUCUUUCUCGAGAAAAUUAAGUUUGUUAAUUUUUUAAUCUCUUUAUACAAAUAUAAAUUUAUACUAUAAAUAAUAUAAUUUUUUGAUUAUAUAUUAUUUUGAGGUCUUGCAUAAUUAUGAUAUAAAAAUGAUUGAUUUUUUUAUUUUAUUAAUCAUUAUUUAAUAUCAUAUUUUGGUAUNNNNNNNNNNNAAAGAUCCGCAUAUUGAAGGAGUGUUGUCACUAAUUAAUAAUGAGAUUUCAAGAAGAAGAAACCUAUGAGAAGGUCACUAUAUAUUCAAACAAUAUAGGUUUGAAACAAGAAAAUUAUUUGUUAAUUAUUCAUAGUGUUUUCCUUUCUUGAGAAAAAUAAGUUUGUUACCUUAGUGAUUUUUUUUAUUCAAAUACAAUUUUUCGUAAUAUAGUCUCACUAAAUAAUGAAUCUAUUAAUAAAAUUAUAAAAAAUAUAUCAAUUUUUUUGAAGCGAAUGAAAAAUAAAAAUUUCAAGAUCUUGCUUGAGAUUAUUAUGAUUUAUUCGUUUAAAAUUUUAAAAUUUUAAAAUUUUUAGAGAUUAAUUUUAUCUCUUUUUUCAUAUUUAGUAUUUUAUAAUCCUAUUUUGACUUAAAUGUGAAUGUUAUAAAUGGUAUAACUAGAACGAUAAUAUUUUUUCUUUAUACUUGGUCUCCUUUCAAUAUUCUUAUAUAGGUAAAUAUUUUUAACAAAUUCAAAUUAAUUUUAUCUACUUUUUUUCAUUUUGAAGUAGUUUAUUAUGAAUUAUUUGUUCUGACUAAUUCAAGAUAAUUUAUUGAAGAUUUUGACUUACAUUUCAUUAGUUUAUGUUGACUUAUCUAUUGGUCAAUGAAAUAUUUUUUUAUGAUUUACUAUUUGAUAAAUUUGUAAAUCUAAAUUAUUUUUUAAUCUAUCUUUUUUUAAUGAUUAGUUUUACUUAAAUAUCAUCCCCACAUCGUGCGGGUACUAAUACUAGUCCUAUAUAAAAGAGAACAUAUAUGAUUUGAUUACAAUUGACUAAAUCAAGAAAGUAUCAAGAAGUAUCAAUUAAGAGAAUAACCAAUUAAGAAUCAAACAACUUAUAUGAAAAAAAAUAAAAUAAUCAAAGAGUUAUUCCAAAAUUUAAAAUAUUAUGAAAAAGAUGUAAUCACGCAAAUGGUAACUUUGGAUUACAAAAUGGAAGAAAUUUAUUUCAAUAUAUUUCAAGAAAUUUUAUUUUAAAAAUAUGCAUUCAUACUUAUUGGAAGAAUUCUCAUUCGAUAUAUUUUAAGCAAUCUAUAUUUACAACAAUACGUAUUCAUAUUUAAUAAAAGGUUUUUCAUAAUUAAGAAUAACUAUCAAUGAGUAAUUACACUAUCAUUCUAUAUUAGAAAAUGAAUAAAUGAUAGUCUUGAAUUUAAAAGAAGGCUAGAUUGAAAAUAAAUAAAUAUUAAAAUUUUUACAAAAUGAAUAUUACUACACAGAAAAGAUUGCAUAAUAUUUAUCCAAAAUAACUACUAAAAUUACAGAGUCCUAAUUAAUAUUCGAAGUCAAAUAAAAUUUUGCUUUACAAAGUUAUUCUUUAAUUGACCAAUUAUAUAACCUUAUAAUGUUUGUAAGAAUAAUUUCAGAUUUUAAAAUAAUCAAAUUUGAAAAAGAUACUUAGUUUUGAUGAAUAAAAAUUAAUUUAAAAUAAAUAAAUUAUCUAAAUAUAAACAAAAAGUAUUUAUGAUUUCAUUUAAUGUAAAUCAAUUAAGGAAGCAUGACAAAAUUGAUUAAUAAAUAUAAAUAAAAAAUGAAUAAUUAAUUAACAAUUAUAUACAUAUAUAUGAAAAAGAAUAUUCUACCAACUGCAAUUAAUCUAAAAGUUGUAAUGUCAUAACAAUUUACCACUAUAUAAGAAGGCUAUACUCAGUAAAAGCUAAUUAAUUUCUGCCAUAACAUGUUGGAGAAGAUGAAUUGUAUAAGUGAUUUCUGUCACAACUUAUCUUGUCGUGAUAAUCGCUAAAAUCUCAAUUUACUGUGAGUAUUGUAUUAGAAUAGAUUUUUCUUGAUUUAUCAAGUCAACUAAAUAUACCAAGUAAUGUUGCAUAUUCAUUUUAAUUCUACAUAUUUGGUGAAAAUUUUAUGAGCCGGUAUUCAUGUACUUUAUGUUUUAUAAAAAAAAUAUAAUUUGUACUCUUUGAAUUGAUCUUUUAAUAUGUUAUACAUUUUUAAAGACUAUAUGUGCAAUGAGAAUUUUAGCAAUAACAUAAAAAUUUACAAGUUAUACGUUAAAUAUGAAAAAACUAAUAUUUAUAUUCCAUAGUUGAUUAUAUUCCAUAGUUGAUUUUCUUGCAAUGCAAAUAUUGUUGCUUUAGAUUUUAGUGAGAUAAUAAUUUGAUUUCAAAAAUUAAUAAACUAUGAUACUAAAUUACUAAUCCACUAUAUUUCUAUAUAUUAGGAUUAACACUUGAUUUGUCUAUACUAUAUUCUAUAUGUUAUGAUUAACAAUUAAUUUGUAAAUUAAAUUGUGUGAUUUUAAUAGUGUAUUAAAAAUUUUGUGAUAUUAUAUUAGGAAUGAUAGUUAAGUGACCUUAGUAAAAAAAUGAUAGUUGUAUAACUAUCUAUGAAAUUUACCCGACACUACGAUUACUAUCUCAAAAGCUAUAUAUCGAAGAUCAAAAUUUGAGUGAAUAUCUCGUGGCUAAUGCUCAAUGGACAAUGCUAAAUUUCAAUAAAUCAAAUACUUAUGAAUAUUAUUUUUUUCAAAUUCAUUAUAUUUAAAUUUUUACUGCAAAUAUUAUUGUACAGCAUAUUGUACUAAUGUGAUAGUAAAGGUCAUUUAUCAUUUGUUAUUUAUAAACAUUAUUCUACAAACUUUCUUAUUUUUUUAUUUUAGUUGAUAUAAACAGUCAAUGAGUUCAAUCAUAUUUAUCUUUAUACUUAUAUUUAUAACUCCAGUUUUAGAAUAUUGUAGAUCUUUUGGUGCAAUAAUUAUUUUGAUCUACUUUGUACAAUAUAAAGGAUAAAGAUGAAUAAGAUUAAUAUCUUAUUAUACUGAUGAACAUGAGGGGUUAAGUAUUAGUUGAAUGUUCUAAGAUGAGAAGAAAUUCAAUUUCGAUAGUGAUUACUAUUUCUAAUUUCAUUCAAAUUGAGUAAAUUGAGAAAGUAUGAUAGGGUUGAUCGAAAAUAGAGUUGAUGAGUGAAUAUUCAAACCUAUGAAGGACUAAACCAUUUAUUCAAAAAAUAAUAUAUAAUAAGAUUCAUUAAUAUUUGUCGGUCCAUUAUCAUAAGAGAAUAAGCGAACAUUGUGAAAUCGUGCAAAUAGGUUAGGACUUUAGACAAUGUUAUAAGUUUGAAAAAAUGAUAAUAAAAAAAUAUGAGAGAGGGAAAAUUGACUAUUAUUGAGACUUUUCUCAAAAUAUUUGCCUUGAUGCAAAAUAUUUUAAAUUUAUAAAAAAUAUACUAUGACUAAGAUCGUGCAAAGAAAUACAAAAUUUAUUUUGAAAGAAAAAUCUAUUAAGACAAGAAAAGAGAAGGAGAAACUCCUUUCUUCCUUUUGAUAAGAGGGUGCAAAUUAAAAUAUUUAAUAUAAAAAUUUUUAAAUUUCAAGUCAAAAUUUUACAGAGAAGCCUCAUGUGCAUAAGUCUAAAACAUAUCUUUCAUUAGUUCUUUAUUUUUCUAACCAAAUUUAGCAGUAAGUCACUUAACUAAUAAUAAUUAUGUUAAAUAUGUAUUUUCUUUUGUAAUGAUAUGAUUUUUUACAAAAUAAUCAAUAUAGAUCACAAUAUUAUCUAAUAUUCUCAAAUAAUUAUAUUACAAUAUAAUAUUAUUUGCACGUAGAUACUAACCUUCGAAAAGAAACGUUUAAGUUUUAAUUAAUUAAUGAUAUUAAGUUCAAUAUUUUAAUAGUUAUUUUUCGUAUUGCAUAAAUUUAUUAAUUUCAAAUAUGUGAACGAUAUUGAAUAAAUUUUUUAUUAUAAAAAAUCAAUAAUAUAAUAAUUUCUAUAAUUAAUUUCAUUUAAUAUCUACCGCGCAUCGCGCAGGUACUAAUACUAGUUUAAUAAAAAAAGUAAAAUAGACAUUUAUGACAUGUUUGUUUCUACUGCUUCAAUCGUGAUUUUACUAUAUCACUCAAUUAAUUAUUAUAGGUCAUCUAAGCAUUAGAAAAUUAAUAAUAUUUAUGUAUAAAAAAAGUAAAAUACACACAAAAUGAUAAGUUAACGCUUGAUGUUUUAUAGUAACUUAAUGACUUAUAUGACACCCACUUAAAUUUUUCUACAAGUACUUUUUAUAGUAAUUUUACUAUAUCACUUCUAAUUAGUUAUUAUAAGCCACUUCUAAUUCAUAAGCCAUUAUGUACAUCAUUUUGCCAAUUAGCUUUGAUCUUCACUUAUAUUUUCAAGUAUUUGGGUGUUGGAAUUUAAUAUAUUCUCGUUUUUGGCACUUAUGAAUAUAACUAGAUACUUUAGGCCGUGUCAGCACGGGCCCAACAUAUGUUAUUUGCGUUAUUUCAAUUUAUGUAGCACAAGUAGCAUUUGGACUAUCAAAUAAUUUUUUAUUAAUAUAAUUUUUAAAUAAUUUAAGUUAUUAAUCAUUGUAAUUAUAGUACCUUUUACAUAAUUAUCAAACAAUUUAUGUUACUCGCUUUGUCCUAAUUUUAGAAUUUAGAGAGUCAAUCAAUUUUUUAUUAAUAUAUUUUUUAAAUAUUUUAAGUUGUUAAUAAUUGUGAUUUAUAGUAUCUUUUAAUGUAAAUUCAAAUAAUUUAUGUUAUUUUCUUUAUCGCAACUUAUGUGACACUAUUAGAAUUUCGAAAAUCAAUCAUAUUUUUUACUAUAUAUUUUUAAAAUACUAUAAGAUGUUUAUAGUUAUGACUUAUAAUUAUUUUUUUUCAUAAUUUUUUAAAUAUAUAAUAUUUUACCAAAAUAAAAUAAAUUAAUUAAAACAAACAAAGUACUAAAUUUUCAAAACAUGUUAAAUUCAAAAACAUCAUUUGGACCAACAAAUUACUAAAUUAAAACAUGAAAACAUGCAAACUAUAAAAUGUCAAAACUAUCCUCAAAUUUGUGUGACAUAAAUAUAAUUUAGAUAAUCAAUCAUAUUUUUAAUAUAUUUUUAGAUAUUUUAAAUUCUUAAGUAUUGUAAUUUAUAAUAUUUUUAUGUAGUUUUCAAAUAAUAUAUAUUACUCGCCUUGUCAAAUUUUUGUCGCAUUGAUAGUCAAUUAUAUUCUUAAAAUAAUUCAAGUUCUUAAUUAUUAUGAUUUAUAAUACUUUUUAUUUCAUUCCAAUUUAAGUGAAAAUGAAAUAAUUUCUAGAGUCACCCAAAUUUUAUGAUUGACACAACUAAGCGGAUAUGUCCUAAAUGACUUAUAAUACCUAAUUAGAAGUGAUAUAGCAAAAUUACUACACAAAAAUAUUUGUGAAUUUUUUUUAAAUGAGUCUCAUAUAAGAUUUCAUGUUAAUUUAAAACAUCAAGAACUAAUUUAUCAUUUUAUGUCAAUUUUAUUUUUUUUAUUAAAUAUUAUUAAUUUUUUAAUACCUAAAUAUUAUAAUAAAUAAUUAGGGGUGAUAUAGUAAAAUUAUUAAUAGUAGUAAUUAUGGUUGAAGCAGCUGAAACAGACAUGUAAUAAAUGUCUAUUUUCCCUUUUUAAAAUUAAAUAUUAUUAAUUUUCUUAUAUGUAAAUGAUUUACAAUAAUUAAUUAUGGGUAAUAUAGUAAAAUCAUGAGCAAUAAUACUUGUAAAAGAAUUUAAAUGAGUCUCAUAUAAGAUGUUCUAUUAAUUUAAAACAUCAACAAUUAAUUUACUAUCAUUUAUGUCUAUUUUAUUAUUUAUUAAAUAUUAUUAAUUUUAAAUACCCAGAUGACUUAUAAUAAUUAAUUCGAGGUGAUAUAAUAAAACUACGAUUGAAUCAACUGGACCAGACAUGUCAUAAAUAUCUAUUUUACUUUUUUUAUUAAAUAUUAUUAUUAUUUUUUUAUAUGUAAAUGACUUAAAAUAAUUAAUUAGAAAUAAUAUAAUAAAAUUAUGGAGUAGCUAAAGCAUGUAAAGAAGCAUGCAUAUUGACGAAGAAUUGCUUCUUCACACUUAUUAAUAGUAGUAGUACUCUAAUGCAUAAUUCAAUCACCCCUAAUUUUACUCUAUUCUUAAUCUGAGCGUAUAAUACCAUAUAUGUACACUUCUCUCUCGUGUACUCAUAUUCAUGUAUUCUGAUUUUUUUCCCCUCCUUAUCUUAGAAUUUCUUUAUUCCUUCAGGUAGAUGGUUCAAGAUGUUGAUUGGCUUAAUUAUAGGUUAGAACAUUAUCUUUUAUUAUAUAUAUAAUUUUUUUAUUUUUUUUAAAAGAAAUGUUUGGUAAGCUUACAAAAGUGUUUUUGAAAAAGGUAGAAGCAGUUUUUCUGCUUCUAGAAAGAAGAAGAAAAUUUAUGCUUUUUAAAAAAAAGAAGCAAAAAAUUAUGUUUUUCAUGACAAAAAUAUUUCUAUCGCGCACACACAUACACUCACACACACAUAUAUAUUCCUCUCAUUAAUUAAUUAGCAUAUCAUUGAUGAUGAUGAUAGAAGAAUAUAUAACUCUUUAUUUUUUAUUAUUAAUGAUAAUAAAUGACAGACGAAUCACGUUGCAAGAUCAAAUGGUAUUCUGACAGCACUUGUAAUUUUUUUCUCGAAUUUUUAGUUUUAAAUAAAUAAUUCAUAAAAAGUGACAUAUUUGUUGUCAUAUGGUGAAUUUUUUCAUAUGUAGUGAUUUAAAUUAUGAAAUAAUUUUUAAAUUUAUUUUUAUUUUAUGUUCUUAAGUAAUAUUUAAAUUAUUUAAUUAAUAUAUCAUCAUUUAAUAUUUUUUAAUGUAUCUAUGUAUAUAAGUAUUGAUUGAAAAUUUUAUAGUAAGUACUUUUUAAAUAAAAUAAAAAAUUAAGUAAAAACAUUAUAAUAGAUAUUUAAAAUAAAUUUUCUCUAUAAAAUGAUUUUAGUCAUAAAUGCUUAUUGAUACAUAUUGUCCUUUUUGGUUGUUUGUCUCUCAAAAUCACUUCUUGAAAAUAAUAAUCCAAAUACAAUCUGUCUAUCAAAAAACAUUUUUCAAAUGAAUUUAUCAAACACAAAUUGCUUUUUUUCAAAAAUAUUUUUCUGAAAAACUAUUUUAUAAAAGUGAUUCCCAAAUAAGCAGUUUUCUAACUGCAAUUUCAAACGGACUCUAAGUGAUUUUAUUAGCUUGGACUCACCUUUUAUAAAAAUACCCAUUUCUAGAAAACAAAGAGUACUUUUAUUAACUUGCUCUUAAUAAAUACUCUACUUUGAAAGAAUAUUACUUUGAAGAAUAAAAUUGGAAGAUCAUUUUUUGAUAAAAUUAAUUAUCUAAACGCUUUUUGUUGGGAACAAAAUAAAAAAAGUUAAAUAAUAACUUAUUUAGGAAUGAAGAGGUACUCUCUUUUUAUUUGUCUAUACAAUUUUUCGUUUUCUUAAACAUGUAUCACUAUCGUAUCAUUAUCAGUGCACAAAUCAUAUAAAACCAGUUAUAAUUUAAUGCAACAAGUAUACAAAAAUCACAUGACGUAUUCAGAACACUUUUAAUUUAACUUUCCUUUUACGUACGUAAUUAUAAUUGUAACAAGUAACAACCUUUAAGUAUGGUGGUUGAUGACUGUGCGGUUAUGUGAUGGAGGUUGGUAGUAAAGGGUAGUUGGUGGUAAAGGUUAGUGAUAUAUAGAGAAUUUUUUUCCCGCAAAUUAGUGGGAAAUUUGUGUUAUCAAACAUGAUUUCUCCUUUUCAACGAAUCAGCUCAUUGGGAAAAUGCAUGAUAGAAAACAAAUUUCGACUGAAACAUUGGAAACUUCAUAAUUUUUUUCUUGUAAGAAUACUAGUUUUUUUUCCUCCCAAUUCAAUUAUAAUAUCUGUGAAAAUAGCCACUGAACAUUUUAUCUGUAAGAAAUUCAAUAAAAAAUAGGGAUUUUUUAAUUAUGUCGAUGAUGGUACGUAGUGGCUAAAGGUGGAGGUGGUAUAUACGUAGUUGACGGUUAUGGUUGAACCGUGUAGGUUGGUGGUAGAGAUAGUUAGUCAAUAAAUAAAGUAGUGCGAAAAUGUUACUUAUAUGUAUAGAAAUUUAUAGGAAUCUCUACGUGAACAUCUUGAUCAAUGACUUUAGUAUAGGAAAAUUCAAAUAAUACAGAAAAUACAAAGAAUUAAUACGUGAUUAUGAGAGAAAAAAAAUAUAUUAAGUAACAUACUACAUGUCGAUAUCAAAAUUAAUAAUUUAAAUUUGUAUUUUCAUUAAGUACAAACAAAUAAGGUUAAAAUAUUUGUUCUAUACACUUUUAUUUAAUAACAGAUGAAGUACCUUUUACUAUAAAGUUUACCAGCAAAUUCAGGAUGUUAAGCGUCCAUAGUUUUCCAGUAAAAUAAGUUAAGAUGCAAAUAAUAUAAUAGUGGACAAAAACCCCUUAUAAAAAAUAUAAUGAACAAAAAACUGCCGGUAUGACUACAAGGAAAGUUGAUCCUGCCAACACCAAAAUGGGUUUUCUUCUUCGCCAUUGAAUCAACAACUUUUUUUUAGUUAUGAAUUUUGGACUAUCAAUUUCUUGUAUGGCUAUGAAUUCUCAAAACAAAUAUAAGAAUCGAGCAAAAAUUACUGAUUUUCUAAUAACCCUAUCCCUCAUUUAUUAAUCUGUAUAGUUUGUAACGAAACUAACACCUGAAAUUUCUUAAUGUUAUUUCUGGACGAUCCCACUUUAAUUUGUAUUUAUUGACAUUCAAUUUACCGUAAGAAUUAAUCAAAACGGAACCAUGCAUUAAAAGGAAGUAUACUUAUAAUAAUUAUGAAAAUAAUUUCAGCCUACCACGUCUCUCUCUAUCCUUUUAUAAUAAUGAUUUUUAGACCACAUAGGCCAGCUAGUUGUAUCAAAUACAUAUUGACAAAUUAGUACAGUAGAAGAAAUCCUUUUCAUUACGUAGGAUAAAAUUUAUCCAAUGUCUACUACACUUUCAACCUUUCUAUUACUAGUGCAUUGAUUUACCAGAAAUAUUCAACAUCACUUUUGCUUCUUCGAUAUGCUUCCUUUUAUUUGUCAGUGAAAUUUUCGUCGAUUGACCUUUUUAGGAUAAAGUCUUAGAACGUUUCUAAAGUUUUAUAAGGUAUUGAAAACAUUAGAUGACAUGCGGAUUAAUAUUUUGAUUAUACGGUUAUAUGAACAAAUAAUUAAAGAUAUGCGUUUCAUAUUGUGCGAAAGAAAAUAAUUUCCCACGGACUAUAUUUGUAUAGCUCUUUAAAAUAGAGAUUAGAGACAAAACCUAAUUGAUGACUUAAUAAAAAAAUAAGUUGUAAUAUUUGCAUAAAAGAUCGUGUUGUUUCGACCCCUAGUUUCUCCUUAGAAGUUUUUAUAUUAAAAAGAUUUAUAUCAAACUUUUCACAGAAAUUGUUAAAUUAAAAUAUCAGUACUAUAAUAACAACAUACUUAAUAUAUAUUUCAUAAGUGGAAUCUAAUAGAGUAGAUAUAUGCAAACCUUAUAUUGAAAACCUUUGGCUCAGGAAAUCGUUUUUCACCAUAAAAUUAAUGGAUGGCAGUGGUAGUUAAAUGAAAAGCAAAAGAAGUCAUUUGGUGUGAGAUAUAAGGUAUAAUAAUCUCAUGAUAACAUGCAAGACUAUUUUAUCUUGCGUUUGAUUGAAGGUAUUUGAUAGUCCUAAGAUUACUUGCCCCACUAUUAUAUCAACAAUGGAAUAAGUUAUCUUGUAUACAAAACAAAAUAACCUUUUUUGAGAUAAAUUAUAGCGAGAUAACUUACUCCCAAACCAAAUGACCCCAAAGUGUCAUGGAGUUUGGGCUACAGGUGACAAAAAAGUUUUAAAAUGAGGUGUAGGUGACACAAGUCUUAAUAAUUGAGUGAAUGUGACAAUUACUCAAUUAUGGAUUAAGAAAGUUUGAAAAAUUUUAAAAUAACUCACAAGUUUUUAAAUUUACACUUUGAUCCAAAUAUUAGUUAAUAUAAUGGGAAACGAAGGAAAAAAAAGGCGCGCUUUUCUUUCUCCUCACCCGUUGUUAUUUUCUCUCUCUUCACGAUAUUUGUUGUUCAUUGUUGUUGCUGCUUUAUUCAUCAUCUUCCGAUUCAUUAUCAUCAUCUUAUACUUUAUUAUCAUCUUCAUAUUCUUCUUGUUGACCAUUGUUGUUGUUGUUGUUAUUAUUACCGCAACUGCUGCUCUUUGAUCAAUUUCUUAUGUCAAAUUUUGUUUCAUACAUUACUUUUAACAUUGGCAUUUAUUUGAGAGGAGACUUUGGCAAGUCAAAUUAUGCUUUUUAGGUUAAUUUGUCAUCUGGGUAACUGCUAGUGUGCUGUUUUUUCAACAAUAGCUAGAACACGAACAUCAAUGCAAUAUAAGAGUAAUCUGUUUAAACAUAUCCAUUAUUUGUGGCACCAGAUAAAUGAUUUGUUGCAACAGUAGACUCAUGUUGGAUUCAUGUUUAUGGUUCUAGGUGCCCGUAAUAUGAAUCGAAUAGAUGGGUAUUCUAUUGCAACAGAUUAAUAAUAUGUUGCACCAAAUUAGUAAUCUGUUUCAAUAGAUAAAUAAUCUGUUGCACCAGAUUAGUUAUCUGUUCCAACAAACAAGUAAUCUGUUGUAAAAGAAUAUUUAUUUGUUGCAAUAGAUAAUUAUUCUGUUGUAACAAAUGAAUAAUCUGUUUUGAACAACAAAAUGCUGCUCCAGUCACAAAUCCAACAAAUAACUUAACUCAUAUGUUGAUCUCUUGCUAUUGAUACUCGAUUCAAAUUAUUCCUUAAUUGUAGACAUGUCAUUCGUUGAGAAAAAGAAAUAGCCAACAUGAAGAUUAAAUAAUAAUUAAAAUGUCAAAUACAUCAAACACAAAUUUUUUAUUAAACAAAAAAAAUAAAAAUACAUAGGUAAAAGAAAAAAAAAAGCUUAAUUAUUAUUAUCAUCAUUAUUAUUUGUAUGUCCAGCCAGCCAAUCAUCAACCGACAGCAGCAACGCCCUCCUCAGCCUGUGAAUCUCCCACAGCAUCCUUACUCUGACGGCGAUCAACUCCUGCUGCAUGUCAUGAACCUCCUUCUACAGUUUCCGUAUGGUGUCUCGUAAAAUAGCGACAUCCCAAACUAGAUCAACCAUUUCUAGAAAAUGCAUAAGUUGACAAAACACACACGUAAAAACAAAAGUAAAGAAAAGAAAGAAUUCGAAUGUAAUACAACGUAUAUUUACACAAAAAUCAAGAAAAUCUUUUUACCAGAGACGGGGAAAAACUAUCAAGUCCUUGAAGAGAAAGUAGUUGAAGGUGUAACAAGAGCAAGGAAUCAAUAAAGUGUAGUAGAAUGAACGGUUGAGUAAGGAGAGAUCUAUUUAUAGAGGAUUGAACUUGAAUAUGUUACGCAAAAAUCACAACUGUUCACCUCCAUUUAUUAAUGAUAUUUCUUGCUUACUGUGAAAAAUUAUGACUUGAUUAAAUUAACCAAUAUUGUGCUAAGUCGAUUUUUCAGCUUAUUAUUAAUAAUAAUUAUUUCUUUCCAGGAACAGUUUUUAUAUUGAGUUGUGACAACAGAUUAUAUAUCUGUUGCAUCAGAUAACUCAUCACAACAGCUAUAUCAUUUGUUGCAACAAAUAGAUAACCUGUUGCAUCAGAUAAUAAAUAUGUUGCAGCAUAUAAUCUAUAUAUCUUUUUUUUUAAAAAAAAUUAUUAUCAUCAUGACAUCCAAAUUUUAUGACUUUUUAAUUAUAUAAAUUAAUAAAACAGAUUUAAAGGCGUAACUGUUCACCUUCAUUUAUUAAUGACAUUCUUAAUUACUGUAAAAAGUUAUGACAUAAUUAAAUUAAGCAAUAUUAUGAUAAGUUAUAACUUUUCAGCUUAUUAUUACUAAUAAUUAUUUCUUUCCAGGAACCGUUUUUACAUUGAGUUGUGACAACAUAUUAUAUAUCUGUUGCAUCACAUAACUCAUCUUUGACAAUAGAUACAUCAUUCGUUGCAAUAAUAGGUAACCUGUUGCAUCAGAUAAUAUAUCUGUUGCAACAUAUAAUCUAUCUUUUUUUCAAAAAAAAAUUAUCAUCAUAUCAUUAAUCCAAAUUUGCUGACUUUUUUAUUAUAUGAAUUAAUAAAACAGAUUUAAAAACAAGAAUAUUUUUGGUGAUUUUUUUACGGUUUAAAUUGUGUUUAUCAUUCAUUUUCUUAUUAUUUUCUGUGAAAAGAAAUGACUUAAUUAAAUCAAGCUGGUGAGUUUUUAUUAUUAUGACAAGUCGUGACUUUUCAGCUUAUAAAAUUUAAAUAACUUUUUUCUCAAUUUAAAAAUCGAAGACACCUGGUUUUCAAUAAUCGUUUCUUUAGUAAAAUAAUAAUCAUUUUUUAUUGAGUUAUGUCAACAGAUUGUAUAUCUGUUGCAUUAGAUAACCCAUCUGUUGCAAUAGAUAUACCAUUUGUUACAAUAAAUCGACUAUCUAUUUUAGGAGCUUUUUUGAUUUCUUCUAACAGCUGAUUCAUCAGUCGCAAUAGAUAAGGAAUUGAUGCAUCAACAACGUUGUUUGUUUUUAUUUGUUGAAUGUGUUUAGACAAAAGUCACAGUCAUGACUAUUCAUUUUUUUCUUGACAAUCACAUCAUCAUAUAACUUAAUUAAUCCAUUGUUGUGACUUUUUGUAAAAUUAAAUAAUCUUUCUUUUACGGUUAUAAAUUGUGUAUAUCAUUUAGUUUCUUAUUAUUUAUUAACGAACCGUUUUUAGGAGAAUCAUCAUGACUUUUCACCACCCUCUGUUGCCAUAAAUAGAAUGAUAAUUAAAUAUUAAAUAAAAAUUAAAAAUUAAAAAUUGACCAAACCGAAUCAAAUAUAUACAUAGAUUUUUAAAUCCCUUAUAGGUAGAUCGGAUAUAAAAAGGAAAAAUACAAACGUUAAAAGAAAGAAAAAACAUAACUUAAUUAUUAUUACUACUGUUAUUAUUAUCAUUACUAUUACUAUUAUUAUUGUCAACCAGACAAUUUUCAUCCGGCUGCAGCAGGGCCCUCCUCAGCCUUACUCUGAAGUUGGGCAAAUCCCUAUGGAGCUCAUCAAACUGCCUUUGAAGUUCCUGCAAGGACUCGAUAUGAAUCUUCUUGUACGAAUUUGGAUCAGCCAUAUUUGUAUUGUAAGUGUAGUAGAAAGAACGAGUGAGAGGAGGCCGGAGGGACCUAUUUAUAAAAUAAUUGAAUUGGAAGGGGUGACUUGACUUAGUCAAACAAAAAGCCACGACUGUUCAUAUCCCUUAAUUAAAUAAAAUUAGUGACUUUUCGAAUAUGUAAAUAAAAAAAAUUGAUCUAAAUACAACAUUUUAUAUUUUUAUUAUAUUUCAGAAAGAAAAGAAAAUUUCUUUAAAAUAAAUCUAACAUAUGGGUAAUUUGUUGUAAAAUAUAUUCCAUCUGUCAGAUAACUUAUAACAUAUUGACAAUCUGUUGCAAUAGAUGGAUAUAUCAGUUUGCUUUUCCAACAGAUGUGGCGUCUAUUGCAACUUGAUAGUCAUUUGUUUAUUGAAUUUCAUCGAGAGCAUUAGAUUUUUCUAAACACUUCUUAGCCAAACUCAAUUUUUGCUCUUGGAUUGCUUCUCUUUUUUUCUCUGCAUCCUUCAAGCUAGCCUCCAGCUUGUUGAUUUGGCCUUCAAGUUUGUCAUUGUGGUCGUUGACCUCAGUAUAGAGCUCUUGAUCUUUUGUGAGUUUGUCAACGAGGACCACUUUUUUGGCAGCUUUCUUAUAAUACUCCUCUUGGUCCUUCUUAAUUCUACGCAAGGUCAAGCAGAAGUAUGGAAGGUUCUCUUUGAGUUUUUCCAAGGCAAGAGCUCUCUCGGCUGAUAAAUCCGGUACUGCAGCAUAUAUGGAUAGUGCAACACUCAUUGCAGAACAGUUUUCUAGUAGAAACAAGUCUUGAGAAGACAUAAUCAGUAAUCUCUCGAUAUCAGCUUUGCUGUGUCAAACAGUCCUAUUGAUAGCUUGUCCUCUACGAAAGAAGAUUGAUCAGCAGAAAAAUUAAGUGAUUGAGAUCAUUUAAUCUAUUGACUAACUCGAGCAAAGAUGUCUUCUGGAUUAUCAAACUUCACAUGGCAAUCUGGUGAUUCAAUAACAUCAGAUGUAUUACUUCCGAUAUUAGCUAAUGAUGGGGAGAUUUUGCCUUCCUCACCAUUCCAAAAAGAAAAAAAUCCCAAAAUUAUAUGGAGUAGCUCGACAUAACGACACAAGAUGAACUAAAUCUAGCAUUCAAUUUUUCCUUCCUAUUCCUCCCCCUUUUAUCUUCUCACCUUUUUCAGAUCUGAUUUUUUUUUUUGGAUACUUGAUAAUGCCUUGGAAAUUUCUUUCUUUCUCUUUUUAGCCUUAAUAUCUAAUAGAGUAAAUGAAACUGAAAUUCUCUUUGAUCGAAUGACACUACUGUUAGAUAUCAAUUCCUUUACAUUAGCAGUUAAUGCAUUAACAAUAUUAAUCACUCUAUCAUUUUUUGACUUGCACUCUUCACAUUUGCAUGCACAAGAUAAGCAAGGAGGGUUAAGAUCUCCAAAUCUUUGCCCGAUUUAGUGAACAGAUUAAAUGAUCUCAAUAUCUCAGCCUUUCUGCUGAUUGUUUUUCUCCCAUAUAGAGGACAACAUAUUCGUCAUGCAAAAGUCUACGCCAUCGCCAGAAAUGCUUACCACAUCGAAAGUCUGUAGAAGGCAUGACUAGUAAUCUCUCAAUAUCACUAUCUCUUGCAAUUAUAUUAGAAUGGACAUAGCAAGCAAUUGUGCUUAGUUUGGUUUGUCAUUUCCAACAUAAUUGGAAAAGACAUCAAAAAAGUUAAAAAAGUGAUAUUGAGAGACUAAUAAUCAAGCCUUCUAAAGAUUUUCACUGUGGCAAGCAUUUCUGGCAACAGUGUAGACUUUUUUAUGGCAGAUAUAUUGUUCUCUAUAUGGGAGAAGAGAGAUCAGCAGAAAGACUAAGAUAUUGAGAUUGUUUAAUCUAUUCACUAACUCGGGAAAAGAUUUUCAUAUGGUAACGAGCCUGCAGUUAUGAAAUGUUUGAUAGGCUUGUUAGAGUCAGUUUAGAUCAAACGUUACGUAACUCCUUGCUGAUUAAUUUAUCAAAACCCUUGAAGGUUGGUUGAGCAAGCUGCAUUGAGCAACGCUCGAUAAAAGUGAGCUAUUCAACUGUUGGGACCACAUCUUCACUGUGCAUCAACACAUUUUGACCUAAAAACAUACACAGCGGCCCUUCAUGUAUCCUUUAAGGCUUCCGAAAAAGGUAUUUUAAAGGGCUUCUACAAUGCCACAACUUUGAAGGUAGUGUUCCUGAUUGAGAUCACAAGAGAUUAGGAACUCUAUACCAAAUUCAAAGACGGCAACGACAAAUUUUAAGACCAAAUCGGCAAGCUGGAGGCAAGCUUGAAAAUUAUCGGGAUUCGCAUACUAUAACAAGCCUCUGAUCUUCUCCAAGGAAUGUUGAAAGCAUGCUAAGGAUAGAAAACAUAAUCAAUUAUAACCAUAUUUCUAAGGAAGUAGUGACACUCAAUAUGCCUUUCAAUCACGUUUUUGGUUUCGAUCAGGUCAACGGACCUGAUCGAAACCACAAACAAGAAGGCAUGGGAUGAAAUUUAAAAUUCAGAAAUUACAGCCUUUGCUUAGAUUCCUUACUUUAACUGCAGUUGCUAUUGGCGGAAGUUUUCUAGACUUACUGUACAAUAUUUCAACCCUCGAUUCCCUUAAGGCGGCUUUCUUAUUUUUCUAUUAUUUUCUAUUUAGGUGAUAAUCCCAACCACGCUACCUAGUUACAUCUCCCUAGCAAAGUGACCAUCUGCAUUAUUUUUCUCUUAGAGAGACAACAAACAAAUUUACAUUACUGGAUACACUUUCAUAUUUACACUUGAUACAGAUUUCUCAUGUUUCAAGAUAAUUUCAUCAGCCAGAUUUGCUAGAAGUUACUUUCUACCCUAUGUAUCUUCUUCAAUUAGCUCUCAGAUGAUAUAAUAUUUCAUCAACCACUCAUUUUUCCUCGAAGGUAUUCUUCUACUGUACCUUCUGGUGUAUAAUCAUCAUCCUAAGCAACCCAACCAUAUAAAUUUCGGCUAGAGCAAUAACUAUAUUGGUUUUUCGUUCUUGCUAGAUGCAAUGCUAGGCUUUGAAGGCCUUCUCAGAGUCCAAUGCUCCCUAAAAGUUAGUCCAAUCGCUAUUGAAUCUCUUUACAACAACACCAAAACUAGAUCCCUUCACAAUGCUUGACAAAUAAACAUGAGCAACAACCGACAUUAAAUCUUAACGGUGUAUCAGAACCAUAUUCAUGGUCCCUCAGCCUUAUCAUUUUGGACCUACCAAACUUAACUGUAAAAUUGCAGAUAUCUUAUUUGAAUGAUCCAUGACUAAUCGGUAAAAAUAACAUUCACAAAAAUAAUGUACUCUAUGUGUGUUUCCACGAUAACAUUAUUAGUAAUACAUACCUCCCACAUAUGAAGUGGUUCCAUCUACAUACAUCUUAUUCCUCCGAACUCAUCUUUACUGCAGCCUUUUGUAAAGGUCGGUAAAAAGUUGAUCAACUUCAGUUCCUUAUAUCUACAAAGAAGAAGAAAAAAUUAAUGUCACAGCAAAAAUAUUAUUCAUCUUUUACAACAAAUAUAAAGUUUGUUGCAUCAGAUGAAGAGUCUGUUGCAUCAGAUGAGGAGUGUAUUGCAUCAGAUGAGGAGUUUGUUGCAUUAGAUGUAGAGUCUGAUGCAACAGAUGUGGAGUCUGAUGCAACAUAUGUGGAGUCUGUUGCAACUGAUGUAGAGUCUGUUGGAAUACAUCAAACCAGCCUUGCUAGUGGUUUGAUUUGUUUCAACAGUUGCUCGGUCUGUUGCAAUAUCAACAACAACAUAAACUACAAAGAAACAAUAAAUAAAAUAACAACAUUUGUUCCAACAACAUCAUUAACAAUAAAGAAGCAACAUCCUAUGUUACAACACCAUCAACAACACCACAACACAAGUUCCAACAAUGCCAACUCCACCAACAACAUCAAUAACAACAUAAACAACAAAGAAACAAAUAAAAUAUAUACAAAAACAUAAUACUGUCAACAAGACUUUUAAACUUCUCUCAACAAAUGACUUUUUUCGCAUAUUAUAAUAAAAAUGCUCGAUUCAUUUAUUCAACAAUUAAAAGUUCCUUCAAAUUUUUUAAUUAAAUAUGAUAUGGGUAAAUGGUAAUUAAAUAAAAAAUAGAUGUAAAUAACUUGCAAAGAAGAAAACGAGAAUGAAAGAGCGAGCGAACCAUACCUUAAUGUCAAAAGGGAAUCAAAACAAUAAUUUUAGUUGAGGAAUCUAGGAUAUGGAUCGGUUUAGAUCCGAAGGGAUCUUUAUGAGAAAGAGGAGAAAAAAAGGAUGUGAUAACCCUAAAAAGGAGAGAAAGAAAAAAAUGAGAGACAAAUAAAAUAAAUUUAGGGCUGAAGGAGAGAUGAGAUAAUUCUAAUUUCUAGAUGUACUACCCUUAAUAUUAAAUGACUAAACAAAGUGUAUUUUCUCAAAUUUAUAUUUUCAAAGCAUAAUUAAUAAGGCUAAUUUGAUAAAAUAAACCCCUAAUUAAUAUUUUUUUAAUGGGAGUACCGAGUCAAUAGGGACCAACUAAUAUGAAAUGGAGGAAGUAUUAGAGGUUUAAGUAUUCAUUAAUUAAUAUUAAUUAAUAAUUUGAGAAGCACGAGGAAGAAAAUGGGUGACAUUGAAAAGACAAGACAAGACUACUCAAUGAGAUUUUUGAGUUAUCUAAGAAAUAUUUUUUACCGCCUUUAGUAGUACUACUUUAUCUACUCGGACAGAAGCUUGCUUUAAAAUUAAAAGAAAAAAAAUUUCAAAUAAAUAUGUUGUCUGUUACAACGGAUAUAAAUAUCUGUUUGAAAAAUUCCAACAGCUCAGUCAUCUGUGAUAACAGAUGCAAAUGUCCAUUUGAUAACUAAAUCAGAUUGUCAUAUGUUACAACAGAUAUCAAUAUUUGUUUGAAAAUUUCCAACAGUUCAAUCAUCUGUCACAAUAGAUGCAAAUGUUUGUUUGAUAAUUAAAUCAGAUAUGUCAUCUGUUGCAACAGAUAUGAUUAUUUGUUUGAAAAUAUCCAACAACUCAGUUAUUUAUUACAACAGAUUUUAUUGCAAUUGAUUUAAGUGAAACUAGGGAUGAAUGAAUGAGCUCACAAAGUCAACAACAAUUUUAAUUGAUUCAUUGCAUUUGCAUGGUGUUGCUAUUGCGUUCAUCCCGACCCGAGUCGUCGAUCGAUCACUCUGAGUUGAAAUAAGUUCUCAUUAACUUAAUGUUAAGAUUAAUAGUACCUAAAUUGAUUUAGGUCGAACUAGGGAUGAAUUAAUGAGAUCACAAGAUCAAUAAUAACUUCAAUUGAUUCGUUGCAUUUGAAUGGUGUUGGUAUUUUUUCAUCCUAAUCCGAGUCGUCGAUCAAUCACUCUGAGUUGAAAUGAGUUCUCAUCAAUUUAAUGUUAAGAUUAAUAGUACCUAAAUUGAUUUAGGUGGAACUAGGAAUGAAUGAAUGAGCUCACAGGGUCAACAACAACUUCAAUUGAGUUGUUAAAUUUGUAUGGUAUUGGUAUUGCAUUCAUCCUGACCCGAUCGUCGAUCAAUCACUCUGAGUUGAAAUAAGUUCUCAUUAACUUAAUGUUAAGAUUAAUAGUACUUUAAUUAAUUUAGGUGCAACUGGGGAUGGAUUAAUGAUCUCACAAGGUCAACAACAACUUUUAUUGAGUCAUUGUAUUGGCAUGGUAUUGGUACUGUGUUUAUCCUGAUCCGAGUCGUUGAUCGAUCACUUUGAGUUGAAAUGAGUUCCCAUUAACUUAAUGUUAAGAUUAAUAGUACCUAAAUUGAUUUAGGUGUAGUUAGGAAUGAAUGAAUUAGCUCACAAAGUCAACAACAAUUUCAAUUGAGUCAUUGCAUUUGCAUGGGAUUGAUAUUGCAUUCAUCCCGAUCCGAGUCGUCGAUCGAUCACUCUGAGUUGAAAUGAGUUCUCAUUAACUUAAUGUUAAGAUUAAUAGUACCUAAAUUGAUUUAGGUCAAACUAGGGAUGAAUUAAUGAGCUCACAAGGUCAAUAACAACUUCAAUUGAGUUAUUGCAUUUGCAUGGUGUUGGUAUUUCUUUCAUCCCGAUCCGAGUCGUUGAUCGAUCACUCUGAGUUGAAAUGAGUUCUCAUUAACUUAAUGUUAAGAUUAAUAGUACCUAAAUUGAUUUAUGUGGAACUAGGGAUGAAUGAAUGAGCUUACAGGGUCAACAACAACUUCAAUUGAGUCGUUAUAUUGCGUUCAUCCCAACUCGAGUUAUCGAUCGAUUACUUUAAGUUUAAAUGAGCUCUCAUUAACUUAAUGUUAAGAUUAAUAGUACCUAAAUUGAUUUAGGUGGAACUAGGGAUGAAUGAAUGAGCUCACAGGGUCAACAACAACUUCAAUUGAGUCAUUACAUUUGCAUGGUGUUGGUAUUUGCAUUCAUCUUGACCCGAGUCGUCAAUCGAUUACUCUGAGUUGAAAUGAGUUUCGAGUCAUCAAUCGAUUACUCUGAGUUGAAAUGAGUUUCGAGUCAUCAAUCGAUUACUCUGAGUUGAAAUGAGUUCUCAUUAAAUUAAUAUUUAAAAACUAUAUCUUUUGAAAUUUUAAAAAUUAAUUAAGAUCAAUUUGGACCAAAUUAAUAAUUUCAAAACUUGUCAUUCUUUUCCAAAAUUAUAAAUCAACCCAUACAAAUCAUCCAUUUAUGGAAAAAACUUUUUCUUAUUUCAAAUCUCAAGUUCUCUCUCCCCUCUCUCUCUCAAUAAUACAGACAACAACUAUUCAACAUAUUGCUCAACCCUUCAAAAUAGAUCGAUUUUCUUCCCAUUUUUGACCACAUAGUUUUUAUUUUCAACUUCAUUCUUGCUUGUAUCUGUCGUUUUCUCUAUCUUCGUAGGUAAAAAAGUUUGAAAAGAGUUCUACAGUUGUUCUUUAUUCUAAAAAUUAGGGCUUUUUAGUUAAUGAUGAAAAAGAAGACUUUUAGUUGUAUUAUCUUCGAGAAUGGGUUAGCAAUUUUAUGUUUUGAUGCUAAAAAUGUAGGAAGCACUCGAGAAAAUGCUAGUUUUUGUCUCGGUGUUUUGUUGACUAUCAUGGUAUUAUUGGAUGAUGUUUGUGGUGUUGUUGGUGGUUGUUGGUGGUGGUGUCAGUAUUUGUGUUUUUGGUGGUGGUGUCGGUGGUCUUGGUUUUGGUAUUGGUGGCAUUGGUGGUGGUCUUGGUGGAAUUGGUUGUGGGGGGUGGUGGUCCAUCUGUUACAACAGGUGGAAGAUCUGUUAGGAGAUAUUCAAUAGGUCUUCAAACAGAUUCUCCAUUUGUUCCAACUGAUGGGUUAUCCAUUAGAGUAUUUUUUUUUUGUAAUUUGGCGUAGAAUAAUUUAUUGAAAUUCAUCUUACCUUUUUUUAAAAAUUAUGCAGACAUCAAAUGCAAUGUAUUUUUUAUUUUUCUAUCAUUUGUAGUUAAAAGAUGUCUUCCAAAAGAAAAGAAACUGAAAGUGGAGAAAGUGGAUCAAUUUUUGAUCACCAAAUAAAAAAGGCUAGAGUACAGAUAGAUUCGGAGAAACUUCCAGAAUAAUCUCAGUCAGGGCAAAAUAAAUCUGAGGAAAGUGAUAACUUCUUCUCACCAAUGGGGCGUGAAAUAAUAUAAAAAUCCCAGCAUGAUUCUGUCAAAGACAUUAGUAUUGACAAGUUUCGAGUUGCGAUGCCAAUGAAUAGCCCUAACGCAGUAUUUGGUGAACUUGUACUUAAAUGUCAAUAUGGGAAACCUUUUGAUGAACUUAGGAGUAUUAUAAAGAAUGAAAACAUAGAUGGACUUUUUAAAAAGAGCUGCUUUGCAUAUUUUCUCAAGCUGUUUGAGGACCACACUCUCCGUUUCCCAAUAAGCAUGGUAUAUGGCCUUCUUAAGCGCAGGAUCAAGUAUGUGGGGGAUGACAAAGAUUCAAAGGAGGGCGAAAAAAAUAUGGAUGAAGUCUGGAUCAACUACUGUGAUAUGCCAAUUUGUUUUGGAUUGAAAGAGUUUGCGAUAGUGACAGGCUUGAGAUGCGAUCGUCCAGAAGAACCUCUCAUCAAGGAAACACCCCACAAAGGGUCCAACAAAUGCAAGGUAAAAAAUAUGAGUUGUUGUGCAUUAUUGGACCUAGCUAUAAAAGGAAGGAUUUGAUGGCGGAUCUCGAGAAUAAAAACAUAUCGAGGCUGUACAGGGAGAAAUUGUGCUUAGUUUGGUUUGUCAAUUCCGUUUUAUUAGCAAAAGACGUCAGAAGUCAUAUAACAUAAUUUGUUGGCGCUUGGUGAUGAUUUUAAAGAAUUCAACGAUCAUCUCUGGAGAUAUAACAGCUACUACUUGACUUUCGAAUAUUUACUGACAAAUCUAUCCCCAAAGACGAUCACAUUAUACGGCUUUCCCUAGGCUUUCAUGAUGAAAUUGAUCACUAUUUUCUCUCAUCCAUUAAUUUAUAUUAAAUAUAGUUAUUAUGACUUUUUUCUUUCUUGCUUCUUGUUUACAUUUUUUAGGCUUGGGCAUGUGAAGCCAUUCCUCUCCUUCGAAAGCAGUUCAAAGAUUACCUGAAUAAGGUUACUCAUCCAAGGAUCCAUAGGUGAUUGGCUGCAACAAAGAGCAGCAAAAAUAUAUUAAGGAGGCUGAUCUCUUUAACCCUCUGGAUGAUGCAGUACGUCUUCUUUCAACUAAAAUAAUUUGCCUCAAAGAAAGAUAUUAAAACAGAUGUUCCAUCUAUUGCGAUAGAUGGGUCAUCUGUUGUAACAGAUUACCUGUCAACUGCAACUGGUGCAACAGAUGGGUAAUUAGUUGUGACAGAUGAUCCAUAUUUUGCUACAUAUUAACCAUCUGUUUCUCUGGUUCUCUUAACUCGACUCAACAGAUUACCCAUCUGAUGCAAAUUAUGCAAUAGAUAUGUAAUUUGAUGCAACAUAUUUUCAAUCUAUUGCGAUAUAUAGAUCAGCUGUUGUGGAAACUAGAUCGUCUGUUGCAUAAGUUGGUUGUGUUAACAUCUAUAUAAUCCAACUGACUGCAAAUUAUUAUUAUAUGAUUUAAAUACCUCCUAUCUUUUUUAUAGGUUGUGCAUCCUUGGAUCGUGUCUACCAUUAAUGAGCUGGGGAUGAUUUUUUUCUUACUCUAGGUCUUAUUGAUACAAAAAAAGACCAACGGUGGAGUUAAUAAAAAAGUAAUUGGAUAGAUAAACAGCCAUAAGAAGAGUAGUUAGGCAAGGUCAUCCUAAUGUUGAAGUUCUUCAUAACCAACCUAAAACUGCAACAGAUCCAGGUGCUUCUUCUGGGGGGUUGCUGGUGGAGUUAUUUGUGGUGGUGACAACCAUCCUGAUACUGCUGCUGCUUCCAGUCAUGAUUAUGAGCAUGUUGGAGCUCAGCAAAAAAAAAAUACUUUUGAAAGCAUCCCUUGCACAGGUCUUUCUCACCCUUACACCGGUCCCUCCCACCCUUACAGUGUCCCUCUUACCCCUCCUCACCCUCAUGUUCUUAUUGCAAAUAAAAAGUGUGCAAAGAUAGGGAGGAUAAACUCCUUGAAAAGCUAGAUCCUAUUGCUAAAGCUGCCAAAAAGUUGAAAUUCAAGAGGGGUGUCUUACCAUCCAACGAGGUUAGGGAGUCAUGCACUCCUACAGUGGCGGUUAGAAGGAAGAGAAGAAAAAUUAGAUAAAUUCUCUCCGUUCUGAAAAUAGCAAAAAUUGCAACUUCUCCCGCUCCAAGUGUUGUUGAAGUUUAGGGGCCGCUGAAGAAGGUGAACAUAUUCGCGACACUUGGCAAGGAAAAAAAGAAGGAACCGCAAAAAAUCAUGAAUGACAGGACGAAGGUUAAAAGAGAAUACACUAUGAAUUCAUUUGCCACCAAAGACUUCACGAAUAUGACAAAUAUGCAUGUGUGGUAUGAGGACAAUGUAAGUUUACUUUUGCUAACUUAGCAUUCCAAUCUACUCUAUGAAGAAGAAUCUAGCAGAUAUGUAAUUUGUUGCAACAACUUGGUAUUCUGUUGUAACAUAAUACAUAUCUAUUGCAUAAGUUGUGUUGCCUGGGUAAUCUGUGAACUGAUUCAGAGAACCCUCUACAUCAAAUUUUUUCCACUGUGUUUUUAUUCUUUACAAUUAUUAACCUAUGUAAAAAUUAUCUUCUUAUACCAUAGUAUGUUGAUAAAAUUCUCUACCUCAUGAGGGGCAGGCAAUUAGCGUACCCGGAUGCUUAUGAUACUGCCGAUAGGAUAAUGGACAUCAACUUCUACAAAAAUUUUUAGGAUAGGUAUGCUUAUUUCUGUAAGCUAGUUGAUUCCGUUGGCCUGGGAUUUGAUAAGUUAGUUUCUACGUUCCAAUGGAAUGUAGAAAUGAUUAAAUAUGUUAGAGGAAAGAGGCCAUAACCACACGGCAAGAGCUGGACCAAGGCAAAGAGUCUCCUUGCAGUCAUGAACGUGGAAGUCAAACAUUUUCUCGCUGUUAAGAUACUACUCUAUGAGAGAAAGAUUAAGGUUUAUGACUACAACUUACCUGUCUUCGAUGAUGACAUAUUUUUUAGCCCACAUGCAUCUACUCUUGAAGUUGUUGCCCAAGUUGUUGACGCAGAGUAAGCUGAUAGAUCAUUUGUCAGCUGAAGUCUUGACGAAGGAAUCAUGAGAUUUUAAAGGUUGAAAUAAGAACAUUAAGCUCCCAAAAAAUAAAACUGGUGCAGCGUGCAGUCCAUACUCGCUUGCAUACGUCUAGAGUUUACUGACCGACACAAAAAUGACUGGUAUGUGCGACGCCGUUAUAGGAAAGAUGCAAUGGGUCUGGGAUUAUGGGGUACUAACUAAAUGGUUGGAGCCCGUGUAUAAAGAAGAAUAUGUACAAAUACAGAUAUGAAUAUGAUAAUAAUUUUUCAUUUCAAGCCACUUCACUUUACAUGUAGUGGCAAUAAUUUUUAUACUGGCUAAGUUUAAUUUUUAUAAUGCAACAGAUAGUAUAUCUGUUGUAACAUAUAUAAUACCUAUUAUGACAAAUUAAUUAUCUAUUGGAAUAGGUUGGUCCUCUGUUGCAUUAUGCAAAUAUUUCUGUCCGUCUGUCGCAAUAGAUAUAUAAUCUGUUACAACAUAUAAUCUAUCUGUUGCAAUUGAUAGGUAAUCUGUUAGACAAAUCAAGAAAGUAGGAAGACCUGUUAUAUAAUUUCCAGCAGAUGACCUAUAGUUGCAUCUCACGUUGCAACAUAUGUCUAAAUCUGUUUGAUAAGAUAUAUCAUCUGUUGCAGUAGAUGUAUUAUCUGUUGCAAUAUUUGAAUCUAGUAUUUCAUUUCAAUUAACAUGUUCAAAACUAAGGAUUAAAUUAUAUUCAUAGACAACAUAAAAUAAGUUGAAGCCUUUAGAAAUUACAUGAAAUAACUCAACAAAUAAAUGAAAUGUAAAACAAUCAUUAUGGGUACAAAUGAUCUACUCUACAAAUAAAUUAACAAGUUAAACCAAGGAGGAUAGGUUAUUACAUUGACGGACUCAAUCUAUAAAAAUCUACUCAAUAUGGACAAGUUGUUCUUCAUUCGGUGCUGCAAAAUUUGGCUUUGGUCAUCGUGGAUCUUUAAUGUUGCUUGCGUACGGAUUCUGAGCUUUCGCUUCUCCAUAUUUUCACAAAAGAAAAACAUAUCUUUUGCGGAGUAAUCCGGCAUCAAGUCCAUUAUUUGGUACUUGUAAUCCAUCGAUCAAAUACUCGGCGUACAUGGAAACAAAAAGACCGCAAUCCCUGCAUUUUAAAAAAAUAGAUAAUCCAUAUCUUGUCAUUCAUGCAAGCGUUGUGAAAUUUGUGAAACAAAACUAAAUCAUGACACUUAAACUUACUUACAGGCUACCAAGGGUUUGUUGAGCAAUUCCUUCAACAUAUUGUACAUCAAAUGAAUUAUCCUUUUUAUCUCGAUAUGCUUCAAUCAUCGACCAAUCAGUAUAGAACUUUUGGUCCAAAAAGCCACUCAUAUUAAGGUAAGUAGGCAAUAUUUUGACCAGCUUUUGGAUCUCAGAUGACGGCCUAGAACGUCUCCUUCACGACAUCGAGUCAUAAACUCAGAUGCGCCUCUCUUUUAGAACGACGAUAGCCAACACUCAAUGGAAUUCAUCACCAUAAUUAAUUGGGAUGAACACUUCGUUGACCAAAUGCCAAGGUAAGACAGUCGAAAUGUUAAAACCUUUGCUGAUGUUGAUUAAGUAUUUCUUAUUUCGGGAAACUUUCGCUGUUGUUGACAAUACCUAUCGUAGGCAUUAUUGAUGUAAAUUUUGUACAAAUAGUGAUCUGUCGUGUAUCCGUAUUAUUCUUGUGUUUGCAACUUGGUCUUCUUUCGAAGGUAUUAAAAAUGACAUCGAUGUGCUACACAUAUUAUCAAAUAUUUUAGAUUAUGUGACAAAAAAAUUAAUACGCAGAUUUAAUUAAAUAAAAUAUUAAUUAAUAGCAAUAUGUAUGACAUUUAAACCUCAUCAUUUCAGCAAGUUUGGGGCUGUGACAUCAAAUAGAACUAAUUCUUCAUUUUGGAAUGUGUAACAAUAAAGUCGAACAUAUCAAAACCAAGACUUAAUUCGUUCAUUUUGUAGCAUUCGUCAUUAUAUUUUCUAUAUGAUGAUUUAUAGGUGUUAAUGUCACGUUCUUGCAACAAGAAUCAUAUUGGGGUAGGUUGGAUGAAAUAAAGGCUCGCUUAGGGAAUUUUAUGUGAUAGGAAGGUGGCCCCCAAACUGAAAGGAAAAUUCUAUAGAGUUGCAGUCCGUUCUGCUAUGUUGUAUGGAGCGGAGUGUUGGCCGAUUAAGAAUUUUUAUAUCCAAAAGUUGAAGGUGGCAGAAAUGAGGAUGUUACGUUGGAUGUGUGUAUUCACAAGGGCUGACAGGGUUAGGAAUGAAAUUAUUUGGGAGAAGGUGGAAGUGGUGUUAGUGGAGGAUAAAAUGCAGGAAGUGAGGUUGAGAUAGUUUGGUCAUGUGAUGAGGAGAGGUACGGAUACCCCAGUUCGUAGGUGUGAGAGGUUGGCCUUGGGAGGUUUCAAACGGGGUAGGGGUAGGCCAAAAAAAUACUGGAGAGAAGUGAUUAAACGUGAUAUAAAGUAGUUACACCUGACUGAGGACAUGGUCCUGGAUAGAAAGAUAUUGAGGAAAGGCAUUAGGAUAGAGGGAUAAGGGUGUGGAUGAGCAGUAGGCAGUAUUUAGGUGGUCUUUGGUGUAUUUUGUUUGGUAAUGUACAAAUUUUUUGUGGAUGUCGUACCUAUGUUAUUUUAUCGUGUUCUAUAUUUUUUAUGCUUUUGUAUACUGCCUUUUAUCUUGAGUCGGGGGUCUAUCCGAAACAAUCUCUCUACUUCUUUAAAGGUAGUGGGUAUAGACUUCGUAUACUCUACCCUCCCCAGAUCCCACUAUGUGGGAAUAUACUGGGUUUGUUGUUAUUGUAAAAAUUGAUUUAUGUACCUGUCGGCAUGAUGCAUUAACAACCCAUCGGCAAUCCAUUCUGAAUAGUCAUUGAUCAACUGUAUUAAUUUUUUUAGAGCAUCGUCCGAGAUGUUGAAUCCUUCAAAUGGGUAAUUAUUUUGUUCUCCCGAACUGACAGACUCUACUUUUUCUUCUUCUUUGAAAGUAGUUAAUGGACUAUCAACUGUGAUAUUAUGCUCUUCAGUAGUGGCUUCUACUGUGACAUCCACCUGAAAAGUCAGAAAUUGUCAAUGCUAAUUAUAGGUAUACAACAAAUUGUCCAUCUGUUGCAACAAAUGAGCCUUAUGUUGCAACAGAUGGAUUACCUGUUGGGAUAAAUUUGAACAUGUAAAUCAUAGCAAUACAGUAAUUUUAAACAGAUGACCCAUCUGUUGCAACAUAAGACUCAUCUGUUGUAAUAGAUAACGCAUCUAAUGCAACAGGUUAGACAAUAUUUACAACAGAUGUAUAUAUCUGUUUGAUAAUUUUCAGUAAAUGUAUUAGCUGUUGAAACAGAUAUGUGCCUAUUUGUUUGUUGGAACAGAUGAUGUACAUUUACCUUGUUUGGCUCAUGUUGCUCUUUUGUGGCCCUUGCAUACUGAACAAUGGUGCAAGACAAAGACAGAGGCAUUGCAAUUUUGCUUUUUUCGAUGCUUGAUGAUGCCUUGGAAGUAUCUUUCAUUCUUCUCUUAGGCGCCUUGAUCUAUAGUGUAGUGUAUGGAAAUGAAAUUCUCUUUUAUGGAAUGACACCCCUCUUAGAUGUCAUUUCUUUUACAGAAAUAGUUAGUGCAUUAAUAACAUUAAUCACUCCAUCAUGUUUUGCCUUGUAGUCUUGACAUUUGCAUGCAGAACAUUCGCUAGAUGUGGUAAAAUUUGGGGAAAGAUUUGUACAACCAGUAUGAUCAUAAUCAUAAUGACUUUUUGUUUCAAAAACUGUAAGAGGAUUAUCAUUAGCCCCAACAGCAGCACUACUACCACUACCACCAUCAACAACAACAAGCCCACCCUCUAAAAUUAUUUUUCUUCCAAUUGUUGUUGCUCCAAAUAAUUCUAUUUUUAUUUCACCAAUGAUCUUAGGGUCCGAUAAAGUUUGCACAGACCGUAAAGUAAGAAAAAAUGACAUCUUCAACUCUCGGUUGGUCGGAACAAGCCACGGAUGAACAAUCUAAAAUAAUCAGUACAUAUAUUAGAAUGAUGAUGAAAUUAUUUAAAAUAAUCAUUAAUUAAAAUAAAAACUUGAUUAGAAUUUGACUUAUUGCUUCCUUCGGGGGUUUGAAAAGAUGAAGAAAUUUUGUACUUUUAUCAAUUUUGGAAGACAACCAUCUCAGGAUUCUGUAAUGCCCCGCACAGUGCUCCUUUAGUCUAGCCUUAGAGCAUUUUUGGUAAAGCAAAAAUCCGAGUCUAAAAAUUUCAAAAAUAUCUUCCCAAGUAUGAAACACUUUGAAUCGUAUUUUAUUUCUCUAAUUUCAACUUUUUGUCACGUAGAGCAUUGAAUAAGCUUUUCAUCGAUACCAAUUUCAUCAAAAUUCGACAUCAGACGAGGGAGUUAUGGCUGUUUUACUAAACGGUAUCGGAAUCGCCCAGGUUUGACGGUCGACCUGGCGGACCGCCAAGUCCUUGGUGGACCAUCAAGUGUCCCGUUAGGCCAAGAUAGAACAUCCCAUUUCUGGCCCCCGAGUGACGGCCAAAGUGGUGGACCGUCAAAAAGUUGACGGACCGUCAAGGGGUCCGUCAGGUCGAAAUAGAAUGGCCCAUUCCUGACUCUCGAGUGAAGGACGGUGUGGUGGACCGUUAGAUUCCUGACGGACCUUCUCUUUGACCGUCACAUCGAGGCAGAGCCUAACGUUCAAUAGUGUCCUAGGGAGACUGAAAAACCACAUCUAGUAGAGUCUUGUGCAUGGGUGUAUAGCGCGCCACAUUUAUGUACAAGAGGCUACAGGAUGUACUUAAGAGUAACUUCCCUUCUUUUAGUAUUUAGAUCGUGCGAGUGAGCAUGAGCUCAAGUUGAUCCUCAAUCUAAACCACUUGCUUCUUUCAAUUACAGAGUAUGCCUUCUCGCAUAGAUUUUGUCCAUGGGGUUGAUGACCAUCCCCCUCAGCCAAUAGAUCCUGAAAAUGAGAGCGUGUCACAUACAGAGUUUCGGGCAGCUUUCCAGGCACUAGCCCAGGCUGUGACUAAUGUUCAUAGGAACCGUUAGGCUACAGUCCCACCUCAGCAAGAUGGGGAUUCUACCGCAGCCUGGAUUAGAAGCUUUAUGAGAAUGAACCCGCCCGAAUUCUUUGGGUCAGUAGUAGGUGAGGAUCCACAGUUAUUUCUUGAGGAGGUGAAGAAGAUUACCCAGAUUAUGCAUGUGUCAGAGGAGGAGAGUGUUGAGUUAGCAUCUUAUAGACUAAAAAAUAUUACUCAUGCUUGGGUAGUGAUGUAGGAGGAGAGUAGAGGGGAGAAUGCAGCUUCUGUGACUUGGUUAGAGUUUCAGAGUGCCUUUCUAGAUAGAUUUUUCCCUCUAGAUAUGAGAGAGGCUAAGGUAGAGGAGUUCAUGAACCUAAGGCAAGGUUCUAUGACCAUGAAAGAGUAUUGUCUUAAGUUUAACCAAUUAGCUAAGUAAGAUCCUGACUUGGUAGCUGACCCUAGAGCGAGUAUGAGUAAGUUUUUAUCUGGUGUAUCGAAUUAUGUAUUGGAAGAGUGUAGAGCUGCCAUGCUCAAUAGAGAUAUGAACCUUUCUAGACUAAUGAUUUAUGCGCAACAGAUUAAGGCAGAUAAGAUGAAUGAGAGAAAGAGAGGGAGUAAGAGACCCAAGAUAUGUAGUCGUGGUCUCUCGUAGUCGGGGUCUCAAGGUGGUAGUAGUUCUCAGUAUGGUCAGAGAUUUUUAGUUCCAGCUCCGUCUUCAGCUAGUGUACUCGCACUGGUGUUUGGGGGUGUCAGAGUUGAGGGAGCGCCAAGCUCUAAAACCCAGAGCAGUACUAGUAGAGUUUGUACCUACCCAUUGUGUGAAGAAUGCGGUAAGAAUCAUAAGGGUGUAUGUAUAGCCGGUAGAGAUGUGUGCUUUAGAUGUGGUGAGACUGGUCAUAAAGUUUGAGACUGUCCUAAGCCAGGUCCCCAAAGUCAGUAUAGUUAUCCUUCAGGCUCUCCUUGAUUGGGAAAGAUCCUGAAAUAGACCCGGGUAAGUUAUGAGCCCUUCAUCGUUAUAAUAUGCAUUAUUAGAUCUUUUGCUUUUAUUUUGAGCUUAUAUGAUAGCAUGAGUCAUACCCGAGUUUCAGGUCUCAGUCGGUAAAUUAUGACCCAGUCGUAGGUGCUUCGCGCACCACUCUAGUAUUUUAGUGAUGUGUGUUUAGAGGGACAUAGAGUCCCAAGGGGGAGAUACCUCAUAGUAUCAUGAUGUUGCAUGCCAAUAGAUUCAUCCCGAUGCGUGAUUAAAUUUCCUUUAUAAUGUUAGCAUUAGUCAUUAUUGCAUUGUCAAGUCGUGCUUUCAGAAGUCAGCUUAGCCGGACAUUCAUGCAUUAGAUGUGCACCUUUAGUAGAAAGAGUUCAGCUAGUCAGCAUGUGUUCAGUCGUGUAUUCAUGAGAUCAUUCCAGUUACGAGUCCAUGCAUCAGAUAUGAAUAUGUGUUAUGAGAACUCAGCUAUGAGUAGAUUCAGUCGAGUAUUCCUUGCAUCAGAUAUGCAUGCCCGAUGUGAGAACUCAGUAUGUCAGUCGUUCCAGUUGCGUUGUCAUGCCUUGAGAUAUUUCCAUUUAUUGAGUAAGCCCUGUUGCUCUAUUUUCCCAAUCUAUCAAUGCGACAUUCGAGGACGAAUGUUCCCAAGGAGGAGAUAGUGUAAUGCCCAGUAAAGUUCUCUCUUAGUCUGAGCCUUAGAGCAUUUUUGGUAAAGCAAAAAUCCGAGUCUAAAAAUUUCAAAAAUAUCUUCCCAAGUAUGAAACACUUUGAAUCGUAUUGUAUUUAUCUAAUUUCAAUUUUUUUCAUGUAUAUCAUUGAAUAAACUUUCCAUCGAUACCAAUUUCAUUAAAAUCCAACAUUGGACGAGGGAGUUAUGGCCGUUUUACUAAACAGUAUCAGAAUUGCCCAGGUUUGACGGUCAACCUGGCGGACCUCCAAGUCCUUGGUGGACCGUCAAGUAUCCAGUUAGGCCAAGACAGAACAUCUUAUUUCUGGCCCCCGAGUCACAGCCAAAGUGGUGGACCAUAAAAAAGUUGAUGAACCGUCAAGGGGUCCGUCAGGUCGAAACAGAAUGGCCCAUUCCUGACCCUCGAGUGAUGGAUGAUCUGAUGGACCGUCAGAUUCUUGAUGGAACGUCACUUCGACCAUCACGUCGAGGUAGAAUAUCCCAGUUUUGGCACUCGAGUGACGGACGACUUGGUGGACCGUCAGAUCGACCGUCACAUACCCCGAUCAGUAGUUUUCAUCUCUUUUUCUUUAAAGGACAUUUUGGUCUUUUCCACUCUUUCUCCAACCUCUAUAAAUACUCACUUAAGGGUUGAAGGACUCAUUUCUUUUCUCUUCUUUCACCUAAAAACUAGGGUUUCCAAAAUAAAAAAUUCUCUCUUCUUCCACCAAAAAUUUAGAGAGAAUCAAGAGCAAAAAUCAAGAAUUCUUCUGAAGGCUUUCAAGAAAGAGUUUCCCCAAGGUAUGUAGAUGUUGAUUCUUGGGUCACUUUCAUCCAAGAAGCUCAAGUGCCUUUUUCUAAAUCUCCAAGAUUUAUGUUUAUAAAUUUUUUAUGAUUCUUGUGAGUUGAAAUUGAUGUUCUUGCUAUGAUUGAGUUGUAGUUCAUGUUUGUCUACAAGAUUAUCAAGCCUUGGCCUUAGUAUGUGGUAUUUGUGUGGUAAAUGGAUUAUGUACUUGUUGUUGAUGUUGAAUGACCUCCAAGAUGGGAUACUUAUGUGGUUUGUAUGAAUCUAUGAUAAUAUAUGAGUGGAAACAUGUAAAUUUGGUUGUUCAUGAUGAGUAGUUGGGUUAUUAUACUUAUGCCUAAGUUGUGCAUGUGAGGUGUUUGAUAAAAUGUCUACGAGACUAGAAAUUAAGCAUUGUAGUUAAAUUGUGAUUUAAUGACUUCUAAGAUACGAUUAUGCGUUAUGAUUGUUGAUGUGUUCAUGACUUUUAGGUGUAGAAAUGGUUGAUUUAGCAGAGUAUGUAUCCCAUAGGUUGAUAAAAGCUUAGAAGAAGAAUAUGGACCAUUAUAGCAUGUUGAAUAGGAAGCCCCAAAUUGUAAGCUAGUCUAUGCAUGCCUAGUGUUUGAUAAAAUGACCAAGUAAAUGAAUUAUUCCAUGCUAGUAGGAAAUCCCCAAAUAAGUGUGAACCUAUGCAUGUCUAGUGUUUGUUGAAGGACCUUAGUGAACGAGUGGAGAUGUAAUGGUUGUAAAUUCCCCAUUAUGUGCCCUUUGAUAUAUGCUAAGUUUUUAAUAUAUGCCAAAAGAUUAGCAGGUAAGCUAUGACAUGAUAGUAUGAAGUUUCCCAAGCGGUGUGAAAGACAAAUACAUGUUAAGACUGAUAUAGGUAUGAAAUAGUUGAGGUAAAACCUUGCUGAGUGGAGUACAAUCUAAUAGCAUAUUUCCUCUAUGUUAUUAUGUGAUUAAUAUCCCGAGAUUCUUAAAGCAACCCUUUGGUAAUUGUGAUGAUGAAUAGAGGUCUAUGUUUCCUAAAUGUUGGAUGUGAUGCCUUAAAGAUUUUGAGGGGGAGAAAGUAUGUUAUGAUUUCUAAUUACUUGGAGAAAUGCUUUAAUAUUUGUGAUGAUGCAUUAAUGAUGGUGACAAUUAAGGUAUGAUUGCAACAAUACAUGAAUGCUUAUGUUGAUGCAUGAAUGAUUGUGAUGGUGAAUGGAUAAUGGUGAUGAUGUGAGAAUGAUUAUGUUUUAAUUCUAUAUUAUCGAGUCCUGAAGGUAUUUAUACCCGACAAUAGAGCUAUUGUCUAAAGCCCAUGUCAGUUUCGCGAUAAUUCCAAUCGAGUCACGAUUCUCAGAACUCAGUGAACUAUAGAACUAUGUAUCUUUAGACAAGUGCGGAGCUUAACCAGGCUCUGUAAUCUCAAUUAUCUCUGUAAUCUCUGUAUCGCUAGUAAUCUAGCCUCCGUCCUAUAAUCAGCUCAGAUCUAAUAGUAUUGAAGUGAUUCAAUUCUAAUCUCAGAAGUGAUUUGAAUAAUCUAUUCAAGCUCUGCAUCGUUAGUCAGAUACUAUGAUUCGAUACCUUUUCGUCAGAUACGGAACUAAGUAAUCUCAGCGUAACUCAGUCAGAUCUCUUGAGAAAUAUAAUCAGUAUCAAAUUCAUCUCAAUCUAAGUUCAGUUAAGAAUUAGAUCAGUAUCUUUCAGUUGAGAGUAGAAACUAGCACCGAGCGAGCUCAAGGAUGGGGACUCACUUACUAGUGAAGGGUGUAAUCCUUAGAUGUGAUCCUUGUGCUCCAGAACUACGUAGCCAGCGUAGGUUGAGACAUCAAACCUAUUAGAUGAGGGGGCAUGAGAGACAUCAUACCUGCUAGAUGAGGGUAGAUGAGGCGGCUUGACCUGUUAGAUGAGGGCUCCACCAUUCUCGUAUGAGGACCUGAUAAAUGAGGGUCAUUUAAAGAUAAUGUCUUUACUCGUGGCACAGUAUUGACACCCUUCCAAUCGGGGAUAGAGGUUGGACCCCUAAGAGAUAGUAGGGGCAUGUCGGUUAAGUAACUAUUCCCACAGUUUUAGUUUCAGAUUCAGAAUCAGUCUUCAGAAAUCAGGACUGUCAGAUACAGUCAUCUAUCAUUGUGAAAAACUCAAAUAGUUCCAUCGAUUUAUGGACCAUCCCAUCAGAUAGACUUGGUAUCACAUAUAGUUAUUUGAUAUCAUAUUCAGAGGUAUGCCGCCAGACAGGCUUGAUCAUAGUAUCAGAUUCCUGUUAAGUAUUCUUGUUGUAAGAUAUCAGUAAAGGGUUAGAUUGUGGUCCUUCGGGUCCAUAAGCACCGUGUGACGUCACGAGAUGGGAUCUCGGGGCAUUACAAACUUGGUAUCAGAGCCUAAGGUUCAAUAGUAUCCUAGGGAGUAUGAAAAGACGCAUCUAGUAGAGUCUUAUGCAUGGGUGUGUAGCGCACCUCAUUUAUGUACAAGAGGCUAUAGGAUGUACUUAAGAAUAAUUUCCCUACUUUCAGUAUUCAGAUCGUGUGAGUGAGCAUGAGCUAAAGUUGAUCCUCAUUCUAGGACAGGAAACUUCUUCCUGGUAGUUCACUUGCUGUCUCAAAUAAAGAAUUACUUCAAAUGCCCAAGGGAAUAACAUAACACCAAUAAAUCAAAAGUAUUAUUAAAUAAAAAAAUAAUGAAUCAUAUCAUAAUAAAAGAAAUACUUACCAUGAAGGCCCAUGAAAAGUCAUAUAAGUUGAUUGUCUUUGGCGUUGAUAGAGUCAACAAAUAUUGGAUAGUCAUUUUGAAGCUUUUAUAACCCCAAGAAUAGCUGUUAAAUACCUCAAGAUCCUCGGAGAGAUUUAUUAAACCUGGGCUUAUGUUGUUGUUAACGUCUCUCGCCCAAAGAAUAUUAUGUUUAAACCAAACCAAGCACAAUGAUUGCUUGUGCUUCUUUGAGAGUCUUUUACCUUUCAACGCUUCUAUCAAAUUUUUAUUUUUGAAGCUUGGACCAACAAUGGACACUAGGUCUUCAUGAUCACUCGACUUGCCUUUGCUUUUUUUGAGUGUGCGAGGUAUUUAUUUUGGGUCAGAGUAGGUAUAACUUGAGAAGGAGAAGGAGGAUAACAUUUUAGUCUGGUAACUAUGGAAAACUCCUUCCAAUCAAAACAAACAGGCAUGCCACAGUAAUUUAUCCACACCCCAUCCAUCUUGUCUUUGUUUUCAUACAUAAACCUACGCUUGAGAAGAUCGUAUAACAUUUUUGUCUGGAAAUGAGCAUUAUUGUCCUCCGGCAAAUCAAGAUAUUACCCAAAGCAGCUUUCCCUGAAAUAAACAUCCAAUUUUGUUCUCGAAAUAUUUUUUUGAAGGCGUCGAAAGAUUUUCCCAUGGCUGACUUAACCACGAAGUCACCCGUUAAAUUUGUGGCACCAUCGCACUGCAUUCUCAUAGGAUAACGAUCAAUGCUGAAGGUUUUGACCAACUCUUCGGCGGAAGGGCUAUUAGCAUUUGGAUCAUCUCUUUUGCGGCAUUUUUUCUCCCCGUGUUCAUUAUCUUAUGCUUCUGAUUGAGAUAACACUUGUAAAGCAAGCUCAUAGAAUGGUGGAUGUAGCCGAGCUGCUGCACUUAUUCCUUUACUUGGACUUGAUUCAGUUUCUUUUCUUUUGGGGGCCAUAUUAUCUUAAAUUAAUAAAAACAUAAAAUAGAUUAUAAUUGAUUAAUGCAUCGUCAAAAAGGGAUAAUAGUAAAUAUAGCAUGCACAACGAUAAAAUAACAGUUCCAACAGACCACACAUCUGUUGCACCAGGUACGUUAUCUAUUACAACAUAUAACCGACAUGUUGCAACGGAGGAGUAAAUCAUUGGAAAUAAUAAAAAUAGAUCACUAAUCUAUUGCACCAGGUGUUUUAUCUGAUGCAAUAUAUAACCGACCUGUUGCAACGGAUGAGUAAAUCAUUGGAAAUAAUAAAAAUAGAUCACUAAUCUGUUGCACCAGGUAUUUUAUCUGAUGCAAAUAUAACCGAUCCAUUGCAACAGAUGAGAAAACCGUUGGAAACCAUAAAAAUAGAUCAUUAAUCUAUUGCACCAGAUAGUUUAGGUAGUUUAUCUGUUGCAACAUAUAACCAACCUAUUGCAAGGAUGAGUAAACCGUUGGAAACCAUAAAAAUAGUAUCUGUUGCAAUAUAUAACCAACAUGUUGCAACGAAUGGGUAAUCCAUUGGAAACCAUAAAACAGAUCACUAAUAUGUUGCACCGGGUAUUUUAUCUAUUGCAACUGAUUACCAACCUGUUGCAACGGAUGAGUAAUCUAUUGAAAACAAUAAAAAUAGAUCAGUAAUCUAUUGCACCAGGUAUGUUAUCUGUUGCAACAUAUAAAUAACCUGUUGCAACGGAUGAGUAAUUCGUGGGAAACCAUAAAAAUAGAUCACUAAUCUAUUGCACCAGGUAUGUUAUCUGUUGCAACAUAUAACUGACCUGUUGCAACGGGUGGAAGAUACCGUUGGAGACAAUAAAAAUAGAUUAUUGAACUGUUGAAACAUAUCACUCAUCUGUUGCAAAAUGAGUUAUCUAUUGGAUCAAUAUUAUUUAGAUUUAUUCCAAAUAGAAGAGUCGUCAGUCACAACAGAUGAAUGAUCUGUUAGAUUGUUCAUCUGUUGCAUCAGAUUUUCAUAGUUGCAUCAGAUUUUAAUCUGUCGCAUUAGAUGUUUCAUCUAUCUCAACACCAUUUUUACCAAGACAAACAACAAAUCAACCCAGCAACACCAACAUACCACACACACACACUAAGAACAUCAACUGUGAACAAAAAUCACCAACAAAUUCAAAUCAAUAGUACGACAACAAGAAGUAGAAAUGCCAGAAAUUAGGGUUUUAUUCAGUCCACAUUUCAAUACUAGAAGAGUAAUUGGCUCAAGUUCCUCUGUUUCUUCAUAAUUUUUUACCUGUGAAAAAAGAAAUGGGACGACGAAGAAUUCGAAGUUGUUGUCGCCGAAGAAGUCUUCACGUCGAUUGACGGUUGAAAGUCGAAAGGAAACUCGCCCGACUAUUUCUCGCCGGAGGUUGAAGUCGCCGGGGAUUGAAGGGCGAAUUUUGCAAAACUGUUGGUUGUGAGAGAGUUGAGAGAAGCUAUCGAGAGAGAGGGGGGGGAGAGAGACUGGUUGAUUUGGAUUGAAGAAGGGUGUGGGUUGAUUUGUAUUAUUGGAAAGAUUAGAAAGUUUUGAAAAUAUUAAUCAAGUCCACAGUUAACUUAAUCAAGUUUCCUAAUGAUGUUUGACCCUUUAAGUUGGUCAAUGUCACCAAUCCUUCAUUCAAGAAUUAAAAGACACCUUUCCUUCAAUUUUCUCAAGUGCCAUGGAGCUUUGUAUUCUGCAAAAUUAAAUUUGCUAUAAUCUGACACUAUUCUACUAAUUGCACUGGUCUGCUGGAUUUUAUUAGAUAGGAAUACUUACAAGUUAUCCAACAUUAAAUCCUGAAUACCAAACAUUAAAUAAUACUAAGAUAGGUUAUGAACGUGAACAAAAAAUUUAAGGAUGAUUUGUUAUUAUCACAAAAGACCAAGUAUAGAAUAGACCGUUACGUUUAAAAUCAAUGCAAUUGACAAAACUAAUUGGUCCCAUAUUAUAAAUACAUUUAUUUUACAUUCUCCCCACCUUACUAUUUUGGGUUUUUUUCUUGUAGCAGUAGGUUGAUGUGAUACUUUAAAUUAAAUACUACUACUAUUAAUAUACUCCCUUUUUUGUUGUCCUUAUUAAAAAUAUUUAUUAUUAAUUUAAAAUAAAAUUAAUUAACAUGUUUUAUUUUACCUUUAUAGCGUGCGUAUAUAUAUAUAUAUAUAUAUAUAUGAAGAGUCGUCAGUCACAACAGAUGAAUGAUCUGUUAGAUUGUUCAUCUGUUGCAUCAGAUUUUCAUAGUUGCAUCAGAUUUUAAUCUGUCGCAUUAGAUGUUUCAUCUAUCUCAACACCAUUUUUACCAAGACAAACAACAAAUCAACCCAGCAACACCAACAUACCACACACACACACUAAGAACAUCAACUGUGAACAAAAAUCACCAACAAAUUCAAAUCAAUAGUACGACAACAAGAAGUAGAAAUGCCAGAAAUUAGGGUUUUAUUCAGUCCACAUUUCAAUACUAGAAGAGUAAUUGGCUCAAGUUCCUCUGUUUCUUCAUAAUUUUUUACCUGUGAAAAAAGAAAUGGGACGACGAAGAAUUCGAAGUUGUUGUCGCCGAAGAAGUCUUCACGUCGAUUGACGGUUGAAAGUCGAAAGGAAACUCGCCCGACUAUUUCUCGCCGGAGGUUGAAGUCGCCGGGGAUUGAAGGGCGAAUUUUGCAAAACUGUUGGUUGUGAGAGAGUUGAGAGAAGCUAUCGAGAGAGAGGGGGGGGAGAGAGACUGGUUGAUUUGGAUUGAAGAAGGGUGUGGGUUGAUUUGUAUUAUUGGAAAGAUUAGAAAGUUUUGAAAAUAUUAAUCAAGUCCACAGUUAACUUAAUCAAGUUUCCUAAUGAUGUUUGACCCUUUAAGUUGGUCAAUGUCACCAAUCCUUCAUUCAAGAAUUAAAAGACACCUUUCCUUCAAUUUUCUCAAGUGCCAUGGAGCUUUGUAUUCUGCAAAAUUAAAUUUGCUAUAAUCUGACACUAUUCUACUAAUUGCACUGGUCUGCUGGAUUUUAUUAGAUAGGAAUACUUACAAGUUAUCCAACAUUAAAUCCUGAAUACCAAACAUUAAAUAAUACUAAGAUAGGUUAUGAACGUGAACAAAAAAUUUAAGGAUGAUUUGUUAUUAUCACAAAAGACCAAGUAUAGAAUAGACCGUUACGUUUAAAAUCAAUGCAAUUGACAAAACUAAUUGGUCCCAUAUUAUAAAUACAUUUAUUUUACAUUCUCCCCACCUUACUAUUUUGGGUUUUUUUCUUGUAGCAGUAGGUUGAUGUGAUACUUUAAAUUAAAUACUACUACUAUUAAUAUACUCCCUUUUUUGUUGUCCUUAUUAAAAAUAUUUAUUAUUAAUUUAAAAUAAAAUUAAUUAACAUGUUUUAUUCUACCUUUAUAGCGUGCGUAUAUAUAUAUAUAUAUAUAUAUAUAUAUAUAUAAAUAAAAUAGUCAAACUUUUUUUUUAAUUAAUAUUUUCUUAAGUGGUGUGUGAAUGAAAACACUGUAAUGGAUUGUUUGGUUAGGACAUAUUACAAAAAAAAUAUGCUUGUAUUGAUUUUGUAUAUUACUAGUAUCUUGUUUAUUGGGUACACUUUUUCUUUCAAUCUAUGUACAUACAAGAAAUAAAAAGGCCAUGAUAUGGAAAGUAAAAGAAAAAGAUAGAAGAAUUUCAAGAAAAUAGUUAGUUUAAAUUUGAUAAGAUUGAAGUAACAACAUAUUGGUUAUUGAUGGAAUCAAACGUCUUUACUUGAUAAAUGAAUCAAAAUUCGGAUUCAAAUCUUUAACAGCAUAGUAACAUUAGAUGACUAACAUACUAAUCACCUUUUAAGAAUACAAAAAAGUAAUCAAAAAUAUAAAAAGAAAGAUAUCUUACUACCUUGAACUAAUUCUAACAUAAUAAUAUACACUACUGAGGCCUCCAUUUUUAAAUCUUGAAAGACACAUCCUGAAUCUUGGAGAAUAGGGAAAAUGAGGAGGGAAUUACAAGGCAGGAAAUCGAAUUAUACCCUCAUUAAGAAGAUAAAAAAUUCAGGCAACUAAUCAAUUGAGCUACUAUGAUUUCCCCAUGUGAUUUGGUAAUGGAAAAGCAUGAAGAAUGGGGAGAUGCGGUGUCAUUGUUGGGCCGUUAUAUCAAAUCAAAAGGCUCAUAAUGUCAUUGGGUUGUUCUUGGAUCUUGUCAUCACUAAUUAUUAAGAAAUUUUGGCACCAUAUACCAACCAACCAAGGCUCUUAAUUGGUAACAUUAGUCAUGUUUUGGGAAGUUAGCAUAAAAUGGUCACUUCACACGUUUUGGGCCAGCAAAAGUAGCACCCAAUGAUCCAUAAAUAAUGGCAAACAACAUAAAUUUCAACAAUUUAAAGUGUAAUGAUAGAAAAUUUUGAUAUUUUACAUAAUUACUGAAUAUAUUGAUUUUGAAUCUAUCGAGAUACAUAAUAAGCUCCCGAUACAUCCAGUGAAGAUAUAUUUUUUUCUUUGUAAAGGUACACAAUUAGCUCCCGACACAUUUUUUUCGAUUUGGUGUCUGUCGAAAUACAUAAUACAUCCAAUGAUUUACAUUUUCCCUUAUAAAGAUACAUAAUUAGCUUCCGAUAUAUUUUUGCUAUUUUGGGUCUGUCGAGAUACAUAAUUAGCUCCCUGAUACAUCCAACAAAGAUACAUAAUUAGUUGAAUUUUUUGUUAGUAUUUUAUAAGGGUGAGAAUUUGUGUAGAUGUGAUAAAUUAAGGCAAUCCGGAGCCAAAAGGGCUCUUUUUUAAUCAAAAUUUUCAAAAGGGACACUUACUUUCGAAAAAAAUCAAAACGGACAAAACGUUGCGGGCCCAGCGACUUACAAGUCGCCCAAGGCCCAGCGACUUGCAAGUGUUCACUGUUCACCUCCUCCUUUUUUUUUUUAUUGGAGUCAUGUAUAUUCAUUCCAUAUAUCAAUUAUUAGUGAACCUUUAUAUAUGAUCUAUUCAAGUGUUAAUUGUUCGCCUCCUCUUUUUUUUGUUUUGUGUGUAUUUUUGUUUUGCACUUGUUCACUGUUAAAUUCCUAAUAAUUUCUAUGAAUAAUAAAAACAUUUAAAAGUUGCAAAUAUGUAAAUAUGUUUAGUAUUUAAUUUUCUAUUUUGUAGAAGAGGUUGUUUCGACCACCUCUUCCAAUUAUCAAAAAUUUCAAUUACUUCCACUUAAUUGCAUGCCAUGUCCCAAUAUAUAAUAAUUUCAUUGUUUUAUCAUAAUGGUUUAAAUAUUUAAUAUAUUCUAUUAAUUUAUAUUAAUUAAUUAUAACUACAUAUUAAAAGUAAUUUUUUUUAUUUAAUUGUCUAUCAUGUUCAAAACUAAUUUGUUACCACAAAUCACAAUAAUAAAUAACUUAAAAUAUAUAAAAGACAUAUAGAAAUUUUGUUGACUCUUACCAAAAAAUCCUCUAUUCUCACUUAAUUACAUAUCAUGCCCCAAAAUAUAAUAAUUCCAUUUUUUCAUCAUUACAAUUUAAAUAUUUAAUAUAUUCAAUUAAUUUAUAUUAAUUAACUAUAACUACAUAUUGAAAGUAAAUUUUUUUUAUUUAGCCUCAGGCGACUUGUAAGUCGCAGGGCCCGCAACGUUUUGUCCGUUUUGGUUUUUUUCGAAAGUAAGUGUCCCUUUUGGAAUUUUUAAUAAAAAAAAGAGCCCUUUUGGCUCCGUACUCAAACAUAGAAUGAAAAUAUUCACAACUUAAGAACGGUGAAAAGUUUCAACUCCCAAAUUUAAUCCUUCCUACUCAAACUUUAUUAGUAUCAUAGAAACCCCUUUCAAUUAACUUCUACUAUUAUGCAAACAUCUCAACAAAUACAGAAUGAUCUCAAGUUGAGCCAUUAAUCCUACUUCAAUGUUAAGAGCUUGCGGUACCUUUUCAGUGCUACUUAGGAGCUAAAAAAUUCAAGGAAACUACCAACAUUAACAUAUGCACCGAUAUUUUGUAUAUUUAUAUUUAUCCUUAACUUAUUCAAGAACAUGUCUUCCCAGAUUUCUUCGGAGAAGAACAAGUCUUGCUGAUUCACAAAGAAACAAGGUCGCCAAUUUUUGGUUUUCAAACAUCCUAUAUUUAGUGAGACCAUCAUCUAGUGGCUGGCACAUGAAUAAUAAAUUAAUCAAGGGCAAGUUAUACUAGUUUAGCAGAUUUAGAAAAUAGAGGUUCAAAACCACCACACUGAUUUCUAUAAUCCCAAAUCUUUUCAACUUAAAUAAAUCAUCUAGGCAACCACAGGGACAGAAAACAAUUAAAAGUUGGACAUACUGUUUAAACAGACCACCUCUCUAAGACUUGCAACUGAUCAGUUCAAAAUCUCUGAAGUGGUUGAAAAUAGUUUCUUUAAUAAGCUAUAUGUUUGCAAACCAAAACAAGAAAGGCUACGAACUAUAACAGUGUGAAGAAACCGCUCAGUCGGCCAUACUUUCAAACAAAAACCGUUUUAAGAGAAUAAAUUUCCACUUAGUUCUCAAUAGUUGGCUUUGGAGUAGGAUAGCGGAUGACAUUCAUGAAUCUUGUUUAAACAUAUUCAAGAUUUGAGAUUACUACUUCUAAAUCUAUGUUAUGAAAAAUUAACAUAAUGAUCUAUAAACAACUAACAAAUCAUAUUUCAAAAUCUAAAACCUAUAAAGCCUCUUUUCACGCUAUGCUAGAAGUUUAAAAUAUCACGUUUGAGAAAUGGCUAUCCCAAAAUAGUACCAACACAAUGUCGUAUUCAAAAUUCAAGCAAAAUUUACAAGGAUUCUUUGAUGAGCAACCAAGAAUAUGUAAAGUUUUGAGCUAUUCAAUGCAUUUUUCAGACAAAAUUAAGGGUGCUAAGACCUUGUGGACAUGCAAACGAAAUAGGAACAUAUCUAAGUCUAUAUUGCAAUGUUAAAGCAGCCAAACCAACAUCAAUAUAAACCCAAAAUAACCCACUGGCCUCUUAUCGGAAGGCAUAAAAUUCCUGGUGUCUAUCUCAAGCCAAUUAAAUCAUUUGAAUAAUCUGCCAACGUACUGUCAGGCGUGUACAAAGUCCAACCACAUGAGAACUAACACUUGGAGUUCACAUUCACAAUCAGUAAAACAAUACUGUCUGCUCUAUUUGAAAAUAUAAUAUAUUUAUUUGAAUCUGAUUAAAAACUAAGACUAUUUCAUAAACAUCUCACACAGUGUAAAUAAAAUUAAAUGAAAGAUAUCAUUUCAUUUCAUAUUCACGUCAAAAAUAGACCAACGGAUUCAAACCGUCACUGAAUCACAAAAUUUAAAUAUAUAAUAUAACAUAAUUUGAUGGGAUAGAAUUUAACUUGUAUUUGACAGAGAUUGUAGUCAUUGAGAGUCGUGCUUCAAACUAGCAUUUUCGACUAUGAUUUAAAGUGGUGUGGCGCUUCAGCACCUCACCCCUUAAGCAAGAGGUUGGGGUUCGAUUCCCACCUCUGACGAAUGAAGCAAACUCUAUGGCCAGUUUUCUACCGCUUAGUGCGCUUACCGAAGGAACGGAGAAUUAGUCUCACGGCUAUCGGUUGUUGGGAUACCUUGGAAAACCAGAAAAAAAAAAAAAAGAGAAAAGAAAGGAGUAAAAAUGAUGAUGUUAAGGAUGGGAACAAAAAAAAAGGAGGAGGUGAACAGUGAACACUUGUAAGUCGCUGGACCCCGGGCGACUUGUAAGUCAUUGGGCCCGCAGUGUUUCGUCCGUUUUGUUUGUUUUCGAAAGUAAGUGUCCCCUUUGAAAUUUUUGAUUAAAAAAAGAGCCCUUUUUGCCUCCGAACGUGUAGAAUUCUUGGACACUUUAUUCUCAAAUUUCUCUCGUCAGAAAAUAGCUUAAAAGUACGAAAAACAGCAGUUUGCAUCAAACUUGACCAAAUUACAGCACUAAAAUACUUAAAAAAUCACCAAACUACACAAAAAAAAAAAAUGCAUUAAUAAGGUCAAUAAACUGCACAAAAAACAGCACUAAACUGCAACAAAAGAGUCAAAGUAUGUUUUAACGAGACUAGAAGGUUGUCUAUCCAAAAUGAAACUACUUGAUGGAUAACCUCGUUAAUUUUUGUACUGAAAUCUAGUUCAACCUUCAAAUUUUUUCAGCCACAGAACUAGUUAGGAAUGACAAUGAAGAGGUGUGGAUACGGUGCGAUGCGAAUUUUAGACUAUGCAAGGUGAUGCAUAUUUUAGGCUAUGUGGGUGUGGGGCUAGUUGGAGUAAUUUUUAUUUUUUUUAAAAUAGUGCGAGGCGUGGCAGGGCGGGUUGCGGGAUUAAAUUAAAAAAGAAGAAGCUAAAAUUUAGUAUUAUUAUCGUGAAUCUACCAACAUUAUAUGUAUUUUUUACUUCAAAUUUUAUCAUACUUAAAAUGAGAUACAAUACUAUAAAUAAAUACUACUACUAUUUAUUUAUUUAGUUGAAGCCUUCUAUGAAAAUCACACCUUGUGACAAUCAGUGGCGGAGCCACAUUGGAUUCAGGGGGUCAUCCGAACCCCCUUUGCCGAAAAAUUAUAUUAUUUUUACAUAAUUAAAAAUAUUUUUAUGUAUAUAUAGUAGAUGUUAAACCCCUUUUGAUUAAUCCAUAUAUACACUUCUAAAUCUUCUCAAUGAAAAUUCUGACUCUACUACUGAUGACAAAAGUAGAGAAUUUUAUAAAUGAAACCAAAUUUUCCUAUAUUCUAACCAAAAAAAACCCUAAUAUUUUAAGGAAUAUAGUAGAAUUGGUCAAAUGUUAUGUAUAGCGUGCAUAAUAAAAUAUUACCAACACAAGCAAAAGGGCAGAAGAAGUUAAAAUUAAGAAAUGGAAAAGGCAAAGCAGCCAACAGGGAGUAUUCUUUCAGAAUAAAGUGGAGCCAUUAAAGUCGUUGGCUGCCUGGCGACUUGUAAGUCGUUGGGGCAGGCGACUUACAAGUCGCUGAAAGCUAAGCGACUUAUAAGUCGCUGGGUCCACAACAUUUUAUUCUUUUAUUUUUUUUAAUAUUAAGUGUCCCCUUUAAAAUUUUUGAUAAGAAAAAGUGUCCUUUUGGCUCCGGAUUCUUGCAUACACCAUAUGUAUAUGUAUGUACAUUCUAGUUUGUAAUUUUUUACUGCAAUUGAAAUCUGCACGCAUAAAAUGAAUACAAAAGCAUGUUGUCCUUUGUGGUUGCUGGAUUUUACAUACACGCAUUAUAUACAUCUGUUGAUAGAUUUUUUUACGUCAGUUGAAAUUUGUUUAUGUAAGGUAUAUUAUUGUCAUUUUUUAUUGUUGAUUUUUGCAUAAAAGUUUGUAUGCAUUUGUUGAUGUUUUACUGAGUUGAAAAUCUAUAUACAUUAAAUGUAUCCACUUGUUAUACAAUAAAUUUUUAUAUCAUUGCCGUUUAUUGUAAUAGGAUUUUGAAUACACAGUUUAUACAUCUGCAAAUUGGAUACAUAUGCUAGUGUACUAUUUUGAGAAAAUUAAAUUCGUUCAUAAUUCAAAUGAUCAGUUUUUAUCCUUUUUAAUUCUAUUAAUUUUAAUCAUUCCUCGCUAUACAACUGGAAUUCUAACUCCAGCAAUUAUUCAAAUGUACAAUGAUGUUUUUUCCUCAGAUUUUAGGGAUACACAUAAAACAAAAGAAAAAGAAUUUUUCCUCUCACGUAUGCUAGUGUAUUAUUUUGAGAAAUUACACUUGUCCAUUAAUUAAGGGACCGAUUUUACCUCUUUAAAUUCUUAAAUUAUACUAGUCUUAAUGUGGGCGUCUCGUUUCGUCUCACCUUUAAAAUAAUAUGAUAGUGUUAUGAAUUUCGAUCCUAAACAAAUGAAAAGAUUCAAGAUAUUGUCAUAGAUUUUAAAAAUCAAUAUGUUGUCAUGAAUUUCAAACUAAACGAAAGCAAAGUUCCAUAGAAGUGUCCUGAAUUUCGUCUUGAAUAUUAUGAUAGGGUUUCACUUCAUAAAAGUCAAAUUCAUGACAAUCAUAUGAAUUUGAUAAAAAAUUAACUAUUUUUCAAUCUGUGACCAUUUCUCAGCUACACAAACACUAAGUUUAUGUAAUUAAUUAUUACAAUCAUAGGCUACGAGCCCACGAUAAUUAAGCAAUGAACUGAAUUUCAUUCUAUGUAGAUAGAGAAGCUGCAAAUAAAACCUAUAGGUAAAACCAUCCAAAUGUGUUUAGUCUGGAAAAUGUUUGUCAUUCUUUUAGUUUUAGGGGAGUUUCUCAUCCGAGGUGCGAUACACACACAUAUUAAAAUUCAAUUAAAUUUGAACUUGUAUAAAAAAAAUCUCAUAUUAAUCUGAAAAAUAAGAUUUGAGGAAAGACAGAAUUUUUUUUUUUUUUUUUUUUUUUUCACAAUUUGAGGAAAGACAGAAAAAAAAAAAAUUUCAAGUGUACCGAAAGUGAAACCAAUAUCAAGAGUGGACUGCUCUUGACAGUUUGAAAUGAAAUUUUUUGAAUAAAUACAUGGUACGCAUCCCAAGGAUUCUGUCAUAACAAGCACCAAUCACGGACAGAAGAGUCAAGAAUGUAACAGCUAUGAUUAUAGAAUUAUUGUGAUAAUAUUGAGGACGGGUUCAAAAUCAAAAAAGGGGUACAAUCACGUUAAUGAGGACUAAAUUAUUUUGGAUUUAAAGUUUUGGUAUAAUUUUUGCAUUAAUGUAUCCGGAAAUAAGAUAAAAAUAAUUUUAAAAUGGACGAAAUAAAAUUGAACAUUCAUACUUAAGUUUGAUAUUAAAAAUUUAUAUCGUCAAUCAAAGACAUUAUAAAUUUUAUUCUAAAUUUAGUCAUAGAAUAUCAUUUCUUAUCUUGCGUACCAAGGUGCAAAUUGUGUUGUGGUUCAAUUGUUGAAUGUCCAAAAGUGCAAGUCUGUUGUUAUGACCUUUAAAAUUGGAUUAGAGGUUAUUUGAUAUACGGACUAAAAUUUUUGAGAUAAUACUCUUUUGACUCCUGACAUAUAAUUUUUAUAAUAAUUUAUUUCAUUUAGGAGAUGGAAUAAAAUAAUCUUAACUUGGAUGAGAUAAUGUAAACCCUAAUUAUAUGUAUGUAAGUAUUGAGUAUCUUUGUUUUCCACCCAUUUUUUCAAAUCAAUUAAAUGUAGAAAAAAUAACAUAAAUUUCAAUAGUUGGAGCUUAAUUGCAGAAAAAUUCGACAUUUUGUAUAAUUACUGAAAUUCUGAUUUUGGGUCUGUUGAGAUACACAAUUAAUUUCUAAUACAUCUAACGAAAAUAUAUUUUUUUCUUUGUAAAGAUAUAUAAUUAGCUUUCAGUAAUUUUUUUCGAUUUUAGGUCUGUCAAAAUAUAUAAUACAUCCAACGAAUAUAUAUUUUUCCUGUGUAAAAAUACAUAAUUAGCCCCUGAUAUAUUUUCUCUGAUUUUGGUUCAAUCGAGAUACGUUAUAGCUCGAUACAUCCAACAAAGAUGUAUAAUUAGUUGGUAUUUUUAUAAUUACUUUGUAAGGGUGGAUUUUGUGUAAUAUAAUAAGUUAAGGUGUAUGUUUAUAUUAUUUUUUCUUAAAUGUAUUUGACUAAUCAAUUUUAAAAAUUACUUUGGAGCAACAAUUAAUACUUAAAUAAAAAUUUAAAUUACUUUUUAACUUCUGAAAAAUAACUUUUCUGCUCCUAUUUUCUUCCAAAAACUUGACUAAAUAUUUUUCUUUUGCUAAAGAUUCACUUUAUUUAAAAAAUAUACUUUUGGCCUUAAGAAAACUGUCCAAUAAGUUAUUAGCCAUAGAAAACUAGAAUCUCCGGCUUAAUCUAAAAGAUUAAACUAUUAGAAGAAUAAUUUCUGAUUGAAUUCUCAUCAUGGGCAAACUUUUUUUUUUUUUUAACUGAAAACACAUAUAAAUUUUAAUCGAGUAGUCAUUGGGACUUGGUGUCAGUUUGGACAACAAUAUUUUUCCCUUUUUCAAUAUAAAUAUUUUCAAAACAGUGUUUAGUUAUGCAUUAAAAUGAUUUUUCUUUUUUUCUACUAUAUUAGAAGUGAAAAUAGCAGUUUAAUUUCAACAUGGAUACUUAAAUCAUUUAAUUUAUAUUUAAGAAUAUUUUAGAUUUUGUAAAUGCUAAAGGAAAUUAUGGCGUGCUAAUCAUAAAAUUGGCCACCGGAAGGUUGGCUAUCUAAAAUUUUCUUUCAUAUUCAUUGUCUUCUACUGCUUUAUUUUUUGCUCUACUCUUUUCAGUCUGGGUUUGAACCGUAUUCUUCCACUCAGUUUUUCAAAUUUUAUUAGUAAUUAUUUUUGUGUAAUUUAUUUUUCUAUCUGUUGAUGGCCUUAAAAGUUGGUGAUGCCAAAGGCAAGGCCCGUGAAGUCAUAAGUGGUGAAAGGAUAUACUCAAUAAGUGAGUCCAAAAGCUAAUAUUUUCUUCUCCUACAACUAUGUAGUAAGUUGGUUCGGUUUGAUUCGAUUUAAUCUAUAACUAGAUGAUUGUAAUUAUUUUCGUGUAAUUUAUUUUUCUAUCUGUUGGUGGCCUUAAAAGUUGGUGAUGCCAAAGGCAAGGCCCGUGAAGUCAUAAGUGGUGAAAGGAUAUACUCAAUAAGUGAGUCCAAAAGUUAAUAUUUUCUUCUCCUACAACUAUGUAGUAAGUUGGUUCGAUUUGAUUCGAUUUAAUCUAUAACUUGAUGAUUGUAAUUAGCUCAGUCGUGAUAUAUCUGUUCGAUUACCUAUGAUGGUCCCUUCAAAGUGACAAAAAAUAUAUUUUGAAUUGAUAAAUUAUAGGUUUAAUCAGAAUUUUUGAUUUGUGAAAUACUCCUCUUUCUAAAAUUCAAACAUGAGAUUGAUCUUAAAGUCAAGUUAGAAAUUUUUUCGAGCAUAGAAUUUAACGUUUCAUUUUUUAUAUCUAUUUCUUCAGGUUCUUAUCUUUUUCAUCUAUCAAUUUUUUAUUGUUCUAAUUUAUGUAGCACGGUUUGAAUUUUAAGAUUCAAACUAUUGAAGUUUGAUUGUGAAUUUAGGGAUGAAAUUCGAAACAUGCCAACAUAAAUUGGCAUGUAGGGAAUGUUUCUUUCAUCCACUUUUUAUGGUUGAUUAAAGUUUUCAAGCUCUUUUAUAUGGUUGUGAUAUUGUGAAAUUACUACUCUACUAUAUUAGAAGUAAGCAAAUUUCAACAUGCUUUGUUUCACUAAAGGUAUUUUCUUCUUUUUACUACUAUUGUUUGCGUGUCAUUUAUUAGCUGAACGGGCUUUUGCGUGUCACAACAAGCAUGUAUAGUCCAGUUCUUUUCAGUUCCUUCUCCUACUUUCCAUUUUCGAUAUUCUAAAUCAUCUCACAGGUAUUUUCCUCUUCUUCGCCCAUCUCUUUCUUUUUUCUUACAUAUAAAUUAGGAAAAAGGUUGCACUCUCUCUUCUUGCAUAGAAAGUUUCAUGCUUUUUCUUUAUCUUGUUUAAUUUUGAUUUAUAUUUUUCUGCAUAUUUGAAUCUCUGCACCUUCAAUUUUGUUUUGGUUAUUUCGAAUUUUUGAUCUCUCUACCUUUAAUUUUGAUUUUUCAUUAUUUGAUAUUUUUGGACUCUGAUCGGGUACUUCAAAGAUACUUCAUGAAAGACAAUUUUCCCAUCAUCUUCAAAAGUUAUGUAAGAUUUGAUUUUUUAUUUAUUUUUUUAAAAAAGGGUAAAUUUCGUUAUAUGUAAAGGAAAAAAUAAAAGUUUGUUGUUACACUGAUUACAUUAACUUUCUGGCUUUGUUAAUUUUAUGAUUCAAUGUUUUUAUCCUCAGAUUGUCACCCUCUGUUUUGAAAUUAUUUUGACUUGUAUUAUGAAAUUAAGCAGUACUUUAUUUUGGACUGCUACAUAUGUCUUUCGCAGUAGCAUCUACUCAUUAGUUCAUCUUCUUUUUAACCUUCAAAUCUUGCGUCAAUUCUCUAUGUUUGUCAAUUUCAUUCUUCCACUGUUUGUGGAUUUUCGAUCUUUGAUUGGUGAUGAUACGAGGUUUAAUAAAGUUUAUUUAUUCCCCCGAUUCUUUUUCUCUUUUUAUUUUUUUUCUUUGUUUUCAAUAUAAUUUCAGGAUAAAUUGUUAUUAUUAUUUUUUGUAAUGUCUAUUUUCUCUUUUAAAUCAGCCGUUAUUGGAAUUAUUUUCUCCGACCUCAUUGUACUAAUUGAAUUUUUGAUUCUUUUUUGAACUGCAGUGCUAAUUUGUGGAUCUUGUACUGCUUUUUGGUAUUGAAACUGCAGGUAUAUGUCGCUUCAAAUUAAUUUUACUGAUGCUUCUUUUUUUCACGAUUAUGUGCUUAGUUCCAUGUCGGCUAUGGAAAAGGAGUUUGGAUUCUUUAUAUUGUUUGAGGUUGAGUUAGAUGGUGUUCAAUGCUUUAGCAUCACAUCAAAAUCGUACAUCCCAAACAUUAUUUCAUAUAUUGUCGUGCCCCAAUCCCAGUAUUGUUCUUUCUUCUCUAAUCCUUCGUAAUGAUUCCUAUCAAAUUAGUGACUUGAAUCCAUCUUACAAUUAGGGUGAAGGAUGCUUACCACCCGUGCAACCCCAUCUUAAUAUUUUUCAUGUUCCAAAAGAGCAAAAUAAUAUUAUGUUACCUUUGUCUGAAAAAAAAAAAGAACAAAUAAAAAUUGCAUUCAAACAAGAGACACCUACGUGUGAACAGAAAACAAAGAAAAGAAGUGACAUAUUUAUCUCCAAUUACCUUGCUUCUAGGGAAAUUUCAGCAUUACUAUUCGUUUGACUGAUCCCAAUUUUUUUUUUUUAUAUACUAGACAUUAGUAAUAAAUUAAAUGCGCCAUUAUUGACUGUGUGUUAAGAGAGUUUGGUGUGCUGUGGGUUUUUGUAUAGACGCCUUUUUUUCAUUUGGAGAGAAUUUAAUAGUAAAAACUUAGAAAAGAUUGGAAAUUACUACUUACAAUCAGUUGAACUUUUAAAAUCAUUUAUUAAUGAAAAUUGUGACACGAUGAUGGAAUAGGUAAACUUUCUAAUAUCCAGGAAGUCAUCUGAUUUACAAGGCAAUAGCCAUUAAGGACGACAUUGAGCUGAAUACUCCCCUCGGUGUAAAACAAUGAUUAAUAUGAAUGUUAUAGUUGAAUUUUUCAAAGGGAGAACAACAAAACGCAUUUUAAGUAAAUAAAUAGAUUAACUCUGCCUCAUAAUUAAGAAAGUGAAGUAGCUACUAUCAUUUUGGAAUAUGGUUGGCACCACUCCUUUGCUUACUCGACUGCUAUAGCCAUUGAUAGCGCACACUUUUGCUGACCACUUCUUGUAAAUUGUCAAGUCACUUCUGCUGUAACAUCAGGUACAACUUAUAAUGUCCACUGAACUAUAUAUUUUGUUUUCUUCUACGAUCUAAGUGACAAUUUUUGCUUUGAUAAAAUAUCAUCCAGUUUAGGAACUAAUAUGUAUAUUUGCUCUGCGACUUUUAGAAUCUGUAAAUAACAAAAGUGGUUCUUGUGGAGCGAUAUCCUCUAUCCAAACUGUAGGUGAGGUUGUGAGACCAUUUCUUCAUAUCUGACCUUGAAUUUUGUAAGUGUUGAAAAUCGAGAAUCAAAAUGCAAGUGGUUUGUUGUCUCUAUAUAACUUAACAUACCUCUACAUAUUGUGAGUGCCUAUUUACUUAUGAUGUAUCUCUAGCUUUCUAUCGGAAAUAACCUCUCUUCUUCUUUGGAGGUAGUGGUUUGGACUGCGUACAUUUUACCCCCCUAAACCCAACUAUGUGGGAAUACACUAGGUUUGUUGUUGUUGUUGUCGUUAUCGCUAGCUUUCUAAAGAAUAGUAAAACAAAAUAGCAGCUGAGUAGUAUGCAGUUGUGCCUACCUCUUUUUCGCUAGAAAAGAAAAUUGAGGCCCCAUUUCAGCCACACUGCUUUCUUUGGUCAAAGGUUAUAUGAACUUGGUAGUGCUUUAAAAUCUUUUUGACUUAUCACCUUCUACUUUCCUCUUUUAUGUCUACGGAGUAUUAUUUUUAGAUGCCCCCUUGAUUCUGGACGAAGCCAAGCGGAUACAUACACUAGGCAAAGGAAAAACCACCAUGUCAUAGCACUUGGCUAGAGUCGAGAAUCUGUCGAAAACAACUCACAAAAUAGAGUAAGAUUAUGUACACACCACUAUUAUAAAGAUAAAUUUUUGGAGCUUUUGUUUCAGAUUCCUAAGUGAAGGCAGUGUGAUACAACAUUGUCUAUUUGAGCGCUAUCACUAUAAAAUUUAAUAGGAGUCUGUUAAAACUCCCUCACGUAUCCCAGAAAACUUCAGAAUCGAGGUAUAGUCGUUCCUGCUGCAAGUAGUUGCUAAAACAAUACUCUUUUCCACUUUGCCAUUCAUGUAUGUACAAUUUGUUGUAAGAAUAUACCCUUUAGCCUUUCUUAGUUGUAAGAUUAUUGAGUUGUAAUUUGAACUUGUCAUUCCUAAUUAUGAAGACUUUGCUACUCCUAAUGAUUAGUUGCUGAAUUUAUAUGCUAUUGCAUCGAUGGACACAUUUAUGGUCUGCUUUCUUUUCUCUUUACUUAAAGGUUACAGUUUCACGGGAAGAAACAUGCCUUGCUAGAUCACCUGGCAAAUUUAUUUGUUAAAUGUUAAAGCAAAGAUAUAAAAUUCAUCUGCAAGCAGCACAUUCUUUAGCCUUGCAACUUUUUCAUUUUGUCCUUCCAUUUUGUGCCUUUUCUUUUCUUGUAAAUGUACAUGUUUGGUUUCUUCUGCAUUGGUUGAGCAUAAAUAAAUGCAUCUAGAUUAAAACUAAAUUCAUUUCUCCUCUUCUUUCCCAGGUAUUUUGCUGUCACAACACCACAAAGAAGGCAAAAUGCAGCACUAUGUAAAUAGUCUAGAAUGUAAGCAAACGAUUGUCAAUUAUAUAUUAUUUAUGUGUAAAUAACAUAUGUAUAUAUUUGCGUUCAGCACGCAAAAAAUUUUCAACUUUGGGCCCGUGCACACGGGCCAUUACUACCUAUUAUGUGUAUAUAUAGAUAUUUUUUAACUACAUUUUAAUUUCUGAAAUUCUUUUUUACAUGGAUUGUGUUCUCCUGACAUUCAGCCAUCAAAAAGGACUCGGCAAAAUGGGAAAGUCCAGGGUCACAUCAGAAACUAGAAACCUGGAGGGUAUAUCUCUACUAUGGGGUGGUAAUACUGAGCUUCUCAUGCAGUCAAUCACGAACCCACCACAACAUCAAAGGAGUCAGAAUCGAUGCAGAAUGAGCUAAAUCAAUAUCAAACCAAGAUAUGUUCUUACCCACUAGAGCUAAUACCCAUUCAAGAUGGGGCUUUCAGCAAAAAGAAGCAGCACAUCCACCCACCGGAGAGCACAAAAAAAAAAAAAAGAACAAGUUAGUGCAGUAUUCGAAUAGGAGAUAGAGAAGUAGAAAGUACUCACUAUUGAAAGCUGAUACACAAGCAGUGGGAGCAAAGCAAAACCAUUAAUGAUCCAGAGGAAAAGAAGCAAAAGCUGGUGAUUGAAUAGCGUUGGCAACGUCAGGUUCAGGUGCUCAGGGCGGAAGGAAAUAAAGGCUGAAUUAGGAAACCCUUGUUCUUAGGGUAUAUGUAAUAGAGAUAGUUGGUCAAAUCGGGUUUUCGAAUUGG
RNAcentral lists this long non-coding RNA (69063 nucleotides) under Capsicum annuum. RNAcentral's name for it is "long non-coding RNA (CANN_LNC005496)". The record is from RNAcentral. Lineage: Eukaryota; Viridiplantae; Streptophyta; Magnoliopsida; Solanales; Solanaceae.